GAGACUGCCUGCUUCACUUCACCAAGAAUCCUCUUGAUUUUUGGCUGAUUAACCAAGGUCCAAAAGUACCUCUCAACAUGAGGGAAUUCAGAGGUAAAACUCUUGGUCAUGAUCUGGAAGAAACCCAAGUAGAGAUUACAUGUCAUGAUAAUGUCAGCAAGGGUGACAGCAUGUCCAACAAGAAAUGUGUUGGAAGCAAGAUGAGUGUUCAAAGCGCCAAGGGCUCUCUUCAAUGCAGUAAUAGCAGCUUCCUCAGCCUACAUGCAAAAUACAAAUAAGAGAUUAAAAUGAAAUAGAUGGGCAAAAUCAUACCAUUAAAGUAAAAUGAGCUACUACUGAAUUACAAAAAUAAAAUUUCUCUUUAUAUAGAUUAAUAAAUACAUCAGAAUGGGGGAGAAAACAACCUAAUCUCUUAAAAAAAUAAUGAGGAGAAAACCCAUGCCUACUUGAUUAUCAAUUCAAUGGGCAUUCCCUUCUACCAAAAUUACUUAAUAGUGCUUGAGUUGAUUCCUUUCCAGAAACUAUGCAUGGGAAAACACCACCACAUUAAGCAUGUACUAAAUGUUGUGUAACUAAUCCUCUCUAAAAUAAAUAAAACAAGAAUCAUAGACAGGUAAUCAAUGCCAAUUUUCCCUUCACCAUGCCCACCUUAAUAUUAUGUAUUUUGAUGACUAAGCUGCCUUAUUCCAAUUUUAACAUGGGACCUAUUGUCUUAUAAUUAGAAAGAAACAAAGACUAAGUAUGGCCCCAGCAAAUCAAGCUUAAUUAAAAUGAUAAAAGAAUCUGCGAGGAAAGAUAGUAGAACUUACUGGAGGAAGGUAAACACCGUAACCAAGUCUUGGAUACAACCAUUUGGCAAUAUUAGCAUCAAUUUCCAUGGCUGCAAAAUCAAUCCAUUGCUCGAUAUGACCCUAAGAAAGCCAAAGUAAUACAUACAAACAAUUACUUCCAUGGUUUAAAAUAAACUUAACUGAUGACAGAAGAAAACAAGACCAUUGUACUAUAAGAAUCUUACAUAAUCAAUCAAUGUAGAACCACAUAUAGGGUUGUUAACCUUUGAGCGAGCAACUGCAGAGAAAAGUAUACCAAUAAGUAAACAAACAUUAGAGGAAGAAAAUUUAGGAUAUGGAGUCAGCAGAUCUUCUCACCAUAACGAGCAAUGGCAUUGCUCUCAAAUACCGGACCCUCAGGUGUUUCCAACACAGGAACCUAGAAGAGUUAUAAAUAUCUUCAGUGAACUGACCUAGAAAAAAGGUUACGUAACAUGCAUAAAAAAAAUUCUCCAGUUUAAAUAUAUUAAUAGGCGUUACAAGGUCACCUUCCCCAAAGGGUUCAUCUUGAUGAACUCAGGAGUCUUAUUUGACACACCCAUCUCAAAAUUCUCAACCAUUUUGACCUGCACACCACUAUAUUCUGCAGCAAUGAGUGCCUUAAAGGCAUUUUUGUUUGUUUUUCCUGCAUGCAAGAUCUGCAUGUAAAUCAACACACCACAUUGAUUAGAUGAACCGGUUGAUUAAGAAGUUGAAUACAAUGUCAAACACCAGUCACUCCCUACAACUAAUCCAGGAAAAUCCUGAAAUUAAUCCUUUUCGCCCUAUAAAUUCUCUUAAAGACCAUUCCCUUUACAUUCUAAACUACUAAACGGUACUUAGCAUUUCCAUCUACCAUACACAAUUAACCUAAUUGACGUAACAUCUCGCCAUCAAUCUUUCUUCUGGUCAAUGGUUCCCAAUUGAAAUCUAAGGUGGUAGAGUUAAAAUCAAAAUCAAUUUUUUUUUAUCGUUAUGAUUAGUAUCUACAAAUCCAUAAACUAUUCCAUUGAUAGUAACUAUAUAAAACAUAUUCAAUCUGCCACUUCCUUCGCAAUGUAAAAAAGCUAGUUACAAAUUUCACUUUCUAAUUCUACUCGAAAUAACUUCCACCUAGUCAUUAGGUGUCAAUUCUGUCAACAGUUAAACUACCACAAGAAACGAAACUAAUAUAGAUACACAGAUAUAAAGCUUACCAGAGCCAUGGCUUGAUAGAAAAGAGCGCUACGAUUUGAGAACUGAGAUCUGGAAAUUGAAAAACAGAGAAUAAAAAUAAACGGAAUAAGGAAAAAUAUUCAAGCAGGAGAACUUGAUUGCCAUGUAUUAAGGAGAAAAAAUGAGAGAAGGGAUUAAGAAAGAACCUUAGACGAAAUCGCAGCGAGAAGGAGCGGGAGAGACUGCGGGACAAAGAGAGAAUAAAAGAAGGGGGGACUAGGGUUUUUGUAGAGUAGAGCGAAUGUGAUGUGGGGUUAUCAGUUCGGGUUCCGGUUUAGAUCCAGAUUUACUAACCCCUUUCUUUUUCCGGUUCUUUUAAGCGUGUCUUUCAAGUAAUAAGUGGGUGAGUUAGAAGUAGAGGUGAUCAUGGGCCGUGCCGGGCCGGGUCGGGUUCGGGCUGAACUCAUACAAAUUUUUAGGCCUGUUUAUUAGGCCCGGGUUCGGCUCGAAAUAUGGGCCUAAAAUUUUGUCCAAGCCCGACUCGAAAUAAAAUUACUAAGCCCGGCCCGGCCCGGCCCGGCCCAUAUUAAAAAAUUUUUUAUUUCAUUAAAUAAAAAAAUUUAAAAAUAUAAUAAAUCAAAUAUAUUUAAAAACAUAAAAACAAAUAUUAAAACAAAUAAAAAUAAUACUAAAACAAUUCUUAAAACAAUACACAAAUUAAUAAUAUAAUAAAAAAUAGUUAUAUUAAAAAUUUAAAAUAAUUAAAAAUAAAAUAAAUAUAUAUAUAUAUAAUUUGGGCAGGGCCGGGCCGGGCCGGGCCCGGGCCAAAAAACUCUUACCCGAGGCCCGGCCCGUUUUCUAAACGGGCCUCAUUUUUUUGCCCAAGCCCAUUUUUCGGGCCUAUAUUUUUACUCAAACCCUCCCAUUUUUUGAGCGGGCCUUCGGGCCGGGCCGCCCAGCCCAUGAUCAGCUCUAGUUAGAACUAGUUUAAUGGGAUUACCAUUUAAAGAAUAAUUAAAUAAAAAUUAUAAAUUAUAAAUUAUAUAAAAAAAUUCUCAUAACCAUUGAACCGUUGUUUUUCUCCAAUUUUCUUUUUCACAACAGUUUUGCUUUUUAUGUAAUUACACGCAACUAAUUUAUCUGGAUAGAUUAAAUCACGAAUUUUUAGUUUAAUUCUUUAGUUCACUCUGAACAACACUACUUAUCUCAAAUUUUUUAUUUUGUGUCUAGUUAUUAUUAUUAUUAUUAUUAUUAUUAUUAUUAUUAUUAACUUGGAGUAUAAUGAUUUAAAUUUUUGCUCAUGCAUGUUGAGGUUCUUUAUUUAGAUAAAAGUUAAUUCAAGUUGGGUUCAAACAUUGUUAUAUGUGAUAUUUUAUUUAAAAAAAAUUAAACUAUCCUCGAAUAAUUUAAUUUAUUUUAAAUAUGAAAAAUAUGUUAAAUUUGUAAAAUAAAUCUGAAAUAAAACUUAAUAAAUUAGGAUCUAUUAUGUCAAAUCAUCAAGAAUAAAUCAAAAACAAAACUAGAUGCAGAAGCGUACCUGAAUCCAUGAAUUCCUUGAAGUUUUACCUGAUCUUGGGGAUUUGAUCUUCUAAAUUGGAACACAAGAAAUUCAGAGAAUAUUUGCUCUUUCUUUCCUAAUGAUGAGAUAUUAGAAAAGAUAUCUUGUAUAUAAUUUGGGGACCAUAACCCUAAACUUCACAUAUUUGACCCAUACUUUAUUUAAUAAUUAAAACCCAGUAAAAUUUUAACCAAAUUAGAUCACUUUUAAUUUUGGCUAAUCUAUCAUGAUAAUAAAUAAUAACAUAUAAUUACCCUUAUUAUAUAUGUGAUGUCCAUAUUUUCCAACAAUCUCCCACUUGGACCACAUAUAUGUACUAAUUACUCUAUAAUUACAUGUCAUUAUAUAACCUUAUGAGCUCAAAAUUUUACUAUCAUAUCCAAAAGGUAUUCCAAAUAAUCUCGUCCAUUAAUUAUGUUAACAUAGAACCAAGGCGACUUUCGUUACGUAUAUCGUAACUAAAUCCAUCCAUGAUUACGUAUAUUAACACAACCAAAUGACAUAGAUCAAGUAUGGAUGUGUAGCAUGGAACAUGCAAUAUGAUCUAAACAUGUCUAUUUCCAAUUAGUCCUCCUUAGUGAGACCAAACCUUACCAAAAUCAGAGUGUGAAUAAACCAAAUAAACUUCAUUUCUGCAGAAAAUAAACUUAAUAUCUUUAAACUGAAAUAACUGAAAAUGUGUCUAUGACAUAAAAGCAUUUAAAAAUACUAUCUCCCACUAAAAUCAAAUAUCUUUUAAAUGACAUUACACUUAUAUGAGCAGUGUGCUCUUAUAAGACCUUAGGUGUAGUUCCUUAAUAAGCGGAUCUACAAUCAUGGAGUUUGUCCUAAUAUGCUUUAUAAGCACCUAACCACUCUGGACUUUUACUUUAACAACCAUGAACUUAAAGUCUAUGUGUUUUUACUUUGAUGUGCUCCUAUUGAUAUUGGAAUAAAAGACUGCAAAUUGUUUUCACAAUUUGCACCUUAAUGAAAAAAUCUUGUAUCCAUAUUCCAUCAAAAUCGAAGCCUAUAUACUUGAUGAUCUCUAACUGAUUAGACCUCCGAUAUGUGAACAUGUAAUCUUUUGUUCUCUGAAAAUACCUUAUAACCCUCUUGGAUGCGAUCUAAUGGUCCAAACCAGGGUUGCUUAAAAUAUCUGCCUAACAUCCCAAUAGUGUACACAAUAUUCCAAUGUAUACAAACUUGAACAUAUAUUAGACUUUCUACUACUAAAAUGUAAAAAAAUCUAAUGCAUUUUUGUAAUCUCAAAAUCAUUCUUAGGGCAUUGAUUGAAACUAUACUUAUUAUUGAUAAGCAGUAUGUCAUUAACAUAUAAAACCAAAUAUAGAACCUUACUCCCACUAAACUUAUGGUAUAUACGAUUAUCAAUAAAAUUCAUCUCUAAACCGAAUAAAAUAAUCAUUUGGUAAAAUUUGUAAUAUUAUUGACGAGAAGUUUGGUUAAGCCCAUAGAUGAAGUUCUUUGCAAAUCAUUAACUUUGCAUCAUUAGACACAAAGCUUUCUAAUUGCGCCACAUAAAUGUAUGAUCAAUGUUACCAUUGAGAAACCAUUAACUUAAUAUUCAUCUGAUGUAGCUUAAUGUCAAAAUAUUCCACUAAAGCCAUUAUAACCCUUUCUCUAGUGGACCUUUUUAAUGACAUUCAUUCUUGAGGUUGUUAAGUUUGUUUUUUGGAACAAUUACCUCAUCUUGAAUAGGGAGUUGUUUAACAUUGUCUUAUUGAGGUUCUAGAUUCACUUCUUAAUCAAUGAUAGGUAUGAGAAUCUAAACAUCAUCAAAAGUGAUAGUAAGAAUUGAGUUAAAAUUCAAUUCCUCCUUAAAAACAAUGUAUCUAACCUUAUUUCUCCUUCCAAACUCAACAUCCUAAAAGAAUGUUGCAAUUCUCAUCUCAAAAAAAUAUUCCUAAUUGUGGGAUUAUAAAAUUCAUAGCCCUUAGAUCGCUCAGUAUUUCCUUGACCUUAUACUUUAUAGACAUCAAAGAAGUUAGAAAUGAUGUCAUUUCAACCUUAUCAUUUUUAGCAAAACGUUUCUCAAUUUCGUCAAUGAAACCUUAGCCUGAGUAAUCUUUUCAGAUUCUAUGCCCUUAAAGGCUUCUAAAAUGUUGUGCCUCAUGAUCAUUAAACUCAUGCAAUUUGAAUGAUUCUACCUCUCAAAAUCCCUUUGUAACACUCUGAAAAUUUCUACAGUAAGAUAUUAUCCUUAAUAUAGUAAAAUAAGGAAAUAAAGUGACAAGAAGAGGAAAAUUGAGUUAUGUCACUGGGAAAUAUAUUAUGACAUAUCGAUUCAAGAAAGGACUAAAUUAUAAAAGUGAGAAAAUUUUUGUGGCUCAAGAGUAAAUACUCCAAAUUUGAGGGAUUAAAGUGUAAAUAUAAAAAAGUUGAAGGACUAAUAUUGCAAAUAUUUUAAGGGUGGAAUGAUCUAGAAACCAAGGAAAAUUGAUGAAUUAGGACCAAAUUGAAUAGGUGAAGAACUAUGAGGGACUAAAUUAUAAUUUUACCAAAUUAAGUGAUGACUCAAGAAUGGAAUUUUAAAAGAUCACAAAGGGCAAAAUGGUCAAUUGGAAGAGAGAGAAAUCUAGAAAGUAAUGUUAUGUUGGUGAUAUUUUAUAAUUAUAUAAUUAGAUAAUUAUUAUUUAUUUAAUAUUUUAAUAAGAUAUUUUAUUAUUUUAUUAUUUUAUUUAGUCUAUAUAUAUAUGUGUGUGUGGAAAAAAAACACACACUUACACACCAUCCAUCAUCUUUCCCAUGCACUAAUGUGAGAGGAAGAGAGAAUGAAAGAAAGUUUUACUUUCUUUAUAAUUUGGUCCUUCUACCAAAAAUUCACCAUUUUCACCCAAAAAUCAAAAGAAUUUCCAUAGCUACCAAGAGAGAAAAAUGUUAAGAAAACUAUGAGAAGUUAGAAUAUCAAGUUGGAUUCAAGAAAAAGAAGUUGAAGGAGAGAGAAAAUCAAGUUAAAGAUUGAAAUCAAUGGAACAAGGUAAGAACAUCAAGAUUUCAAUACAUUUUUAAGAUUAAUAUUAUUGAAAAAGCAUGGAAUUGAUGUUAAUGUAGAGUUUUCUUAUAUAUGGUCUUAUGUUCUUGAUAUGUUAGUGAAGAAAAAAAUAAGAGAAAGUAAUGAGAAAUAGUGUAGAGAAAGAAAAUAAAGGUGUUAUAAACAUGGUAAAUAAACAUCUUGCACUAAAACAGUUUUGGACAGCAGCAGUAGGCUAAAUUUAAAAAAUCACCAUAAAUUGUGGAAAUAGUAUUAGAGGAUUAAAAAAAUAUUGAAUUAAAUCUUAUUGAGUCUAGUUUCUUAUAGAAAAAACGGUACAAGAAAUGGAAUCGUAAAUUGUGAGAUAUAGUAAAUUUAGUGAGACAAUGUCAGAAUGAUUUCGAGUUCCCUUGUUCUGACUUUGGAAAAUCAUAAAAAAUUGGAGAAAAAUAAUUAGGUUCUUAAAGUUAUAUUUUUAAAAUUCUGAAUGAGUAAUAGAAACAAACGAGAACAUCAUCUGAAUCCUGUACAAUGAGAUAAUUAAUUUUUUAGUAAAGAAGGGUCGGAACUGUCAGACAACAGAAUAAGGGUGACUUUAAAGAAUAAAAUGUACUUAUUGGCUAAACCAAAAAUUCUUAAAAUUUUAUGGUAAGAAUAUACGUAAGUCUAGUUUCAUAGAAAAUUAGCGGAUCUUAAUUUCGAGUUUUGCAGCUCUAGAUAUAAAUAAUUAGUGACUGUGACGCAAAUGGACAAUUUUGAAUAUACAUAUAAGUAAAUAGUGAAAUUAUUGAUAAUGUUACUUGUAGCAUGUUAUAUAAAUAUAGGAUGUGGAAUGGAGAGGAUGAGGAGGAAAAUAUGCAUGAAUAUUCAGCUAGCAUGGCUAAUUUGCACGUUUUAGGCUCAGGGACUAAAUUGAAUAAAAGUAAAACUUUAUGGGCAAUUUUGUAAAAAUGUUAGAAAUGACCAAUUUGCAUGAAAUGGAUUAUUUAAUUAUUUAAAAUUGCAAACUUGAAUGAAAUUAUUAACUUAGUUCAAGAUCGGGGAAAAACAUGUUUUAAGGAUUAAAUUGAAAAGUGUUGAAAUUAUGGAAAAUUAUGAUAUUUUAUAGAAUUCAUGGGUUGUUAUCAAUUUGUAUGAGAAUAACGGCUAGAAAUAAGGAUUAAAUUGCAAGAAUUUUAUUUUUUUGAGCCUAAAGAUGAAAUCAUCAUUAAUUAAAAAGUUUAGGGGCAAAAUGGUAAUUUUGUUUAGAGCAUUGAAUGUAUUAGAACAUGAAAUAAAUGAAAACGACGAUCAAAUUUAUUUAUAAAGAUUCGGAUGACUCGAAUACGAGACUUGAACGUGGAAAAGAAAAAAUAUCAGAUUAAUGAAAUUAUAAACAUGAACAAGCAGCGAGGUAAGUUAGUGUAACUUGAAUUGUAUUUUUAAAUGCAUGAAAUAUCGAUAUAAAGAAUUAUCCGAUUUAUUUUUAUGAAGAAAUGGCAAGAGAAUGAUAUUUAUCAUGGCAUGUAAAUAUGUGAUUAUCUUUGAAAUUCAGUAUAUUGAGACGAGUAAUAAAUUCAAGUAAAACAUGUCGAGAAAAAUAAGUACGUUUAAGGGACAAUAUGUUUGAUUUUAAUUGGUUCCAAAUAUGAACGUUAGAUGAAAUAAAAUAUCUGAUAAAUAAAUCGAUACCUCCGGUAAUGCUCCGUAACUCUAUUUCGGUGAUGGAUUCGGGUUAAGGGCGUUACACCCUUUUAACAUAGGGGGUGCUUUCCGCAGUGAGAGGUGCGAGUAGUUCUUCCUUUAGUGCAAGGUUUAUGUUCAUACAGCCAAGCACUAUAAGUAAGUGCCUUUUCCAUUCAUUGAAAUUAGUCCCAUUAAGCAUGGGUAUAGAAUUUAUAUUAGCGGAUAUUGUGGCAGUAAUAUGAAUUAACUGAAUAUAGAACAAAAAAUAAGUAAAAAUAAGCUCACAGCAAUAUUCAUAAGUAAACAAUAAAUUCAGGAUAAUGGUUAAUCCUAUCUCAAGAUACCAAACACAACAUUAAUAUCAAUUUUUUGGACGAUAAUAUUAACAGUAAGCGGUACUUUUGUUGUAGCAAUCAAACAUUGACAAUAAAUCAUGUCAAACAAUGAAUUAAUCUUUAGACUGACAUAUUGCUCACAUAAAGUACCUUAUAAUUGUCACACAUUUAUCGCCACAGAUGUCGUUGAAAUUCUGCCAAAUAUUAACUUACCUUUGGGUCAAUUAAUAAACGCAUGAAUUACAAAAAUAUAUAAUCAUCUUGCUAUUUUAAAUAAACUAAUCUACACAAAAGAGGUCACUUUGGCGGUAUUUUGUUUCAACUAAUUUAUUUAAAAAUACUAGACAUCCUUAAUUAAAACCUAAAGCCAAAAUCUGAAUUUAUUUGUUUCAAAAUAUUUCUUUUAAUUUCAUCUUUCAAUCAAAUUAAAAGAUAAUAGUAUAUAUAUGUAUAUAUAUAUUUACCCCAAAACAACAUACAAUGAUGUUGGCAAAUAUAAUAAUAGUUGAAUAAAUCUUAAACCAUAAACAACCUCACAUAAGACUUCAAAUUUAAACUAAAAUAAUUUGAAUAAAGAUAAACCUCAACUUAAGAUAUCGGACACUCCAUUAAUAUUUCAUCUUUGAAAAAAAUAUUAACUUGUAAGUGAUAUCUUGGUGUAGUAAUCAAACAUUGACAAUAAGAACAUGUCGAACAAUAAAUCUUCCUAUGAGCCAAUUUAUUACUCACAUGUAAAACCGAAUAAUCGUCACAUGUUUAUCACCAUAGUUGCACAUGUAAUAUUAUUAACCUUCAUUUGGGCCGAUCAAUAUCAACAUAACUUAAGUUACAUGCACACAAACUUUUAUAUUUUAAAACAAAAUAAUUUAUACAAAGAAAUCACUUUGGUGACUUUUUGCUUCAAUUAAGUUAUUUUAAAAUAUAUAUAAACAUACCAAUAUUCAAAUUUAAAUUUCCCCAAUAGUCAAAUGUUAAAACUAUUUUUUUAUUGCUUUAUAGACUCUAUGUAACACCCCCACGCCCGAAACUGUCACCGGAGUCAAGCUUGAGGUGUUACUAAACUUAUCUUACCUUUUAAACAACUCUAAACCACUUAUUUUAAUUUUUGGAAUAAACUAUUUUUCUGCGUCAUGGUUGCUUAAAAAUUCAUUUCUCGAGUUUCAAAACUCAAAAUUAAGAUCCGUAAAUUUUUCCUGAAACUAGACUCAUAUAUCUAUCUACUAAUUUUUUUCUAGAAUUUUUGACUCGGCCAAUUAGUACAGUUUAUUAGUUAAAGUUUCCCCUGUUUCAAAACUCAACUACACUGACCUCUUCUUACUACAAGCCAUGUUUCUUCCUGUAAAAAAAUUCAUAUGACUAAGCCGUUUGUUUCUCUCAAAACUAGAUUCAACAAGGAUUCUAACCAUAUAAAUUACACCUUCUAAUUAGUUUUGUACAAUUUAUGGUGAAUUUCCAAAUUUGAAACAGGGGAUCCAGAAAUCGCUCUGACCCUGUUUCACUAAAACUUAGAUAUCUCAUAAAAUAUAAUACCUUUACCUGUUUUUCUUAUUCCAUAAGAAAAUAUAUAUAAUAAGCUUUAAUUUCAUAUAUUAUUCAUCUUCAAACUAUGUUUCUGAAAUUUUUAGUGAUUUUUGAAAGUUACGUCAUUUCUGUUACUUGAAUCUGUUUUUAGGUUACUUUCACAUUUUUCAUAAUUUUCAUGUGAUAAUCAUCAAUCAAUCAUACAUAUUAAUAAAUAUGUAUAUCAUCGGCUAUUUUAUUAGCUAAUCACUAGCAAGUAUUUACACAUCAUUCAUUGUUCAUAUUAUACCAAAAGUAGCUAAGUUUCUAUACAUGCCAUACCCAAAACAAAACGUCUAGUUAUACCGAGUUAUUUCUUUGAUAGUGUGAUCGGCCUCCGACGUUUCCUUCGAUCCCCGAGUGACUAGAUAAGUACUAUAAGAAGAAGAAAAUAAAGAGAUUAAGCACUAGGCUUAGUAAGCUUACAAGCAAAUAAAUCACAACAUUCAACAUAAUGGAUAAUUAUGCAUAAUAUCAUCUAACAUCAUAAAUUUCUUUACUUCUCAAUUUGUAUCUUCUUCUUUAUUCCCUUACCUUCUUUCUUACUUGACCUUUCCUUUUUCAUAAGUAUAAUCUACUUUUCCUUUGCUGUUAAUUCACUGUAAUUUAACUCGUAUCCUGACCCGUUGAACCACUCGGAAUACUAAGGAUACUAGGGUCGUUCCUGUCUAUCAAUAUCCUGCCAAUGCCAUGUCUUUGACAUGGACUUACAUGAAUUAUUCCUGUCUCCAAUGCCAUAUAUAAUAUGGACUUACAUGGCUCAAUCCUGUCUCCAAAGCCAUAUUUCUAAUAUGGACUUACAUGGCUCAUUUCUGUUUUGUCCUGUCAACUCUAAUAUCCUAACAUUCCUAGGGUUCAACCGGGGCUUUCUAACACUUUUCCUCUGUCACUCCACCUUAAAUUCGACUUUACAUAUUUUCAUAACAUAAGUAUAUAAAUGCUGGAAAUUGACAAUAAUAAUGUAAAAUAAAAGAAUAUUGCAUUUAUUUACUGUAACUUACCUUGAUACAAAAUGUGACUAAACUUUACAAUUUAGUCCUUUACUUUUUCUUUUCCCCGAUCUACUCCCGAAUUUCGUUCUUCUUGAUCUAUAAUAGCAAAUUUAACUUAUUUAAUAUUCACAUUUAUUAAAACAGUCCUUGACCCAAACUUUUGCAAAAUUAUAUUUUUACCCCUAAACUUUCACAUAUUUGCACUUUUGCCCCAAGGCUCGUAAAUUAAACUUCAUCCUAUUUUCUUAUGUUUUAUGAUAUGCUGAUCAUUUUUCCCUUCUAUGGCAAUAUCAAAAUCACACUCUAACAUAUACUUAUGACUAUUGGUAUUUUUUUCCAAUUUAAGCCCUUUUACUCGUUUUCACUUAAAACCGAGUAGCAUAAGUUGUUUAACAUAAUUUAAAACCUCAUAUUCUAUCAUAAGACACCAAAAUACACAAACUUCAGUCAUGGGUAUUUUUCCAAAUAUGAACCCUAGGCUGAAUUAUUGCUAGAAUAAGCUUAAUCAAGUUACCGGGACUCCAAAAACGUAAAGAUCAUUAAAAACGGGGCUUGGAAUCACUUACUAUGAAGCUUGAAAGUUGAAGAAACCCCAGCUAUGGAGGAGAGCAAAAAUCGGCAGAAACUAAUUGAGAAGAUGACCAUUUUUGUGUUAUUUUUCCCUAUUUAAUUCAUUUAAUAUCCAAAUGACCAAAUUACCCCUCCUUACUAAACUUUCAAAAAUUCCUUCCAUGUCCUAAUUUUUGUCCAUGAACUUAAAAUUGGUCAAAUUGUUAUUUAAACCCUCCUAAUUAAUAUUCCAAAGUAAUUUCAUACUAAAAACUUCUAGAAUGCAAGUUUUGCAAAUUAUUCAAUUUAGUCCCUAACCUCAACUUAAGCAUUUUAUGCAUGGAAUUUCAUCACGAAAUUUUCACACAAUCAUGCAAUCAUACCAUGAACCUUAAAAUAAUAAUAAAAUAAUUUUUUCUACCUCGGAUUUUUGGUUUCGCAACCACUAUUCCGUUUAGGCCCUAUUUUGGGAUGUUACAUUUCUCCCCCCUUUUAGGGAUUUUCGUCCCGAAAAUCUUACCUGUGAAGAGAUUUGGGUACUGUUUUUGCAUAGCCUCUUCGGGUUCCCAUGUAGCCUCAUCUACCCCGUGUCUAUUCCAUAGUACUUUUACAAGUGCAAUAUUUUUAUUCCUUAAUUGCUUUACCUCUCGAGCUAGAAUCUUUGCCGGUUCUUCACCGUAAGUCAUGUCUGGCUGAAUCUCAACCUCUGUCUGAGAAAUCACAUGUGAUGGAUCUGAACAAUAACGACGUAGCAUAGACACAUGAAAUACAUUAUGAAUCUUCUCUAACUCAAUCGGAAAAACUAACCGAUAUGCUAAUGGUCCGACUCUCUCAAUUACUUCAAACGGUCCAAUAAAACGUGGACUUAGUUUGCCUUUCUUGCCAAAUCUGAGAACUUUCUUCCACGGGGAUACUUUCAGAAAAAACUUUGUCACCAACUUGAUAUUCGAUCUCUUUUCUUUUUAAAUCUGCGUACGACUUCUGCCUGUCUGAAGCUGCUUUUAAACAAUUUCUGAUAACUUUCACUUUUUCUUCUGUUUCUUUAACUAGAUCAACCCCGUAAAUCUGGCUUUCUUUAAGCUCUGUCCAAUAUAAAGGUGUACGACAUUUACGUCCAUACAAAGCUUCAUAAGGUGUCAUCUUCAAACUUGACUGGUAACUAUUAUUAUAGGCAAACCCUACCAAUGGUAAGUAUUUUUCCCAACUACCUUGAAAUUCUAAUACACAACAUCUAAGCAUAUCUUCAAGUACCUGAAUAACUCUCUCUGACUGACCGUCGGUUUGAGGAUGGAAAGUUGUACUAAAACUCAACUUUGUGCCCAAAGCCUCUUGUAAUUUCUUUCAAAACCGUGAAGUAAAUCUUGGAUCUCUGUCUGAAAUAAUCGAUAAUGGUACCCCAUGUAGCCUGACUAUCUCUGAAAUAUACAACUCCGCCAACUUGUCAAGUGAAUAAUCCAUACGAACUGGGAUAAAAUGAGCCGACUUCGUUAACUUAUCAAUCACAACCCAUAUUGCAUCUUUCUUUCUCGGUGUAAACGGUAAUCCUGUCACAAAAUCUAUAGUAACUGAUCCCAUUUCCAUUUCAGAACUAGCACAGGCUGCAAUAAUCCUGAGGGUACCUGAUGUUCGGCCUUUACCUGUUGACAAAUCAAGCAUCUAGAAACAAACUCUGAAAUAUCUCUUUUUAUUCCUACCCACCAAUACAAUUUUUUCAAAUCAUUAUACAUUUUUGUACUGCCUGGAUGAAUAGAUAAAGGACUGCUAUGUGCUUCCUGUAAAAUCUUCCGAAUAAGCUCAUCAUUCUUUAGUACACAUAUUCUGUCUCUAAACAUCAAACAACCAUCAGAACCAAUCCAGAAAUCUGAUUCUAUGCCUGACUCACAUUGAGCUCUUUUAGCUUGUAACUCAUUAUCAUCUUUCUAAGCUUCACAAAUCUCUUCAAGAAAUACCGGUUUAGCUCUCAAUUCAGCUAAAAUAGAACCAUCAUCUGACAUGGCUAAAUUGGUAUUCAAAGCUCGCAAUGUAAAUAAAAGUUUCCUACUUAAAGCGUCAGCAACUACAUUUACCUUACCUGGGUGAUAAUCAAUCACUAAUUCAUAAUCUUUAAGCAAUUCCAACCAUCUUCUUUGCCUCAAAUUCAAAUCUUUUUGAGUCAUCAAGUAUUUCAAGCUUUUAUGAUCGGUAAAUAUCCGCCACCUUUCACCAUACAAAUAAUGUCUCCAAAUCUUCAAUGCAAAUACAAUAGCAACUAGCUCUAAAUCAUGUGUCGGAUAAUUUUUCUCAUGUGGCUUCAAUUGUCUAGAGGCAUAAGCAAUUAUCUUUCCUUCCUGCAUGAGUACACAACCGAGCCCAUUCAAGGAUGCAUCACUGUAAAUCACAAAUUCUUUACUCGGUUCCGGCUGUACUAAGAUAGGAGCUUCCGUCAACAAUGCCUUUAACUUGUCAAAACUUUGUUGGAACUUCUCAGUCCAUUCAAACUUAACAUCCUUCCGUAGCAGUCUCGACAACGGGGUAGCUAUCAUGGAAAAUCCCUCCACAAAUCGUCUAUAAUAUCCGGCAAGACCAAGAAAACUUCUAACUUCUGAUACAUUUCUAGGAAGCUUCCAAUCAACAAUGGCUAAAAUCUUGCUCGUAUCAACCUUAAUACCUUCACCUGAGACAAUAUGUCCAAGAAAACCAACUUCUCGUAACCAGAACUCACUUUUGCUGAACUUGGCAUACAACUGAUUACCUCUCAGAAUUUGUAAAACUGUUCUCAAAUGCUCUGCAUGCUCAGUCUCAUCAUGAGAAUAAAUCAAAAUAUCAUCAAUGAACACAACUACAAACUUAUCUAAAUACGAUCUGAAAAUUCAGUUCAUUAAGUCCAUGAAAAUGGCAGGAGCAUUAGUCAAGCCAAAUGGCAUCACAAGGAACUCAUAAUGACCAUACCUAGUCCGAAAAGCAGUCUUCAGGACAUCUGACUCUUUAACUCGCAACUGAUAGUAUCCGAAUCUCAAAUCUAUCUUGGAAAACACAGUAGCUCCCUUCAAUUGAUCAAACAAAUCAUCAAUUCUAGGCAAUGGAUACUUGUUCUUUACUGUUACCUUGUUAAGUUACCGAUAAUCUAUGCAUAAUCUCAUCGAUCCGUCUUUCUUUUUCACAAAUAGCACUGGUGCACCCCAUGGUGAACUACUGGGUCUUACCAAGCCUUUAUCUGUUAAUUCUUGCAACUGAGCUUUCAAUUCUUUCAAUUCCAACGGAGCCAUUCUAUAAGGAGCAAUAGAAAUGGGCGUGGUACCUGGAAUCAACUCAAUACCAAACUCAACUUCUCUAACAGGAGGCAAACCUGGUAGUUCUUCCGGAAACACAUCGGGAAACUCACAUACCACAGGCACUGAUUCAAUUUUCAAUUCUGGAUCCUUAGUGUUUAACACAAAAGCAAGAUAAGCUUCAUACCCUUUUCUCAAACAUUUCUGAGCAGACAUAACAGAAAUUAUGGGAAAUAAACUAUCUGACUCUUCUGAAUUAACCCGAAGAAUUUCACCAUUUUCACACUUCAACUCAAUGAAUUUCUUUCUACAAUUCACUAUCACAUCAUGUGUAGUCAAUCAAUCCAUACCAAGAAUCACAUCAUACUCAUCAAAUGGCAAUAGCAUGAGAUCAGCAGGAAAACAGUAGCCUCUAAUCAUUAAAGGACAAUUUCUACAUACUUUAUCUACUAAUACAUGCUUGCCUAAUGGAUUCGAUACUUUAAUCACAAAUUCUGUAGAUUCUAUAGGCAUACUUAUACUAGGCAUCAAUUUCAUACAAACAUAAGAAUGAGUCGAACCCGGAUCAAUCAGAGCAAUGACAUUAAUAUCAUAUAGAGAAAAUGUACCCGUAAUCACAUCGGGGGAGGAUGCCUCUUCGCGUGCACGAAUAGCAUAAGUCCUUGCAGGGGCUCUAACAUCUGGUCUCACAGCCGAAUCUCUAAAGGUACCUCUGUUACUUGCUCCUACUCCCGGUUGCCUCGGUGAUCUGCCUCUAGUAGGAGCAUUUCCGGAUCUAGCACUCUGUGUUACUUCUCGGCUAGCCACUUCUGGACAUUCUCGUACAAAAUGAUCUGGAGCACCACAUUUAUAGCAAACAUUUUCGCCUGCCCGACAAGGACCAUAAUGAAGUCUACCACACCGUGGACACCCUGAUCUACCCUGUCUGACAUUACCUACACUCGUAGUCGAGGUGGUCUGAGCCUUCGGAUCCUUAAAUCUGUUACCUCUAUUCUGACUAGAUUGCCCUGCUGAAAAGCUAGAUCUGGUAGAAAACUCCACUGACAGUCGGAUAUCAUCAUUUAACCCAUCCUCAAACCUUUUACACAUGAUAGCCUCUGUGGACACACAUUCUCGAGCAUAUUUACUAAGCCUGACAAAUUCGCGCUCAUAAUCGGUCACUGUCAUAGUACCUUGUUUCAAUUCCAAGAAUUCCUUUCUCUUCUGGUCAAUAAACCUCUGACUGAUGUACUUUUUACGAAAUUCCUCCUGAAAGAAAUCCCAAGUGACCCUCUCCUUUGGUACAACUGAUACAAGUGUCUUCCACCAGUAGUAGGCUGAGUCUCUAAGAAGUGAUACUACACAUUUCAUACAUUCCUCGGGUGUACAAGAUAAUUCGUCAAAGACUCUGAUAGUAUUUUCUAACCAAAAUUCUGCUCUUUCUGCAUCAUCAUCUUUUGUUGCUCGGAACUCUUCUGCCCUUUGUUUCCUGAUUCUAUCAACUGGUGGCUUUUCUCUUACCACUGUACCUGUGACUGGGGAAGCUUGAGCUACAUGGGUAGCCUGAGAAUCAUGAGGGGGUGGAGGUCUAACUGCCGGAUUCGUACGAACGAACUCGGCAAACAAAUCAUUCAAAGCUCGGAAGAGAGCUUCUCGAGUCACUCCUCCCUGAUCAACUAUUACUGGCCUAUUCUCAGAUGGCGCUGCCCCUUCUAUGGGAGCAGGCGCAUUACUUUCUACAUCAUCAUCACCAGCUCGUCCGGGAUCCAUUACUAUAAAACAAAAUAUUUAAAAAUCGUCAGGAGUCGUCACACUAUCAAAAUACAAGUAUGGCAUGUAUAGCUAGACUUUUUCUCACACUAACUGUUCCGAGAACCGACUAAACCUGCUCUGAUACCAAUAAUGUAACACCCCCACGCCCGAAACCGUCACCGGAGUCAAGCUUGAGGUGUUACUAAACUUAUCUUACCUUUUAAACAACUCUAAACCACUUAUUUUAAUUUUUGGAAUAAACUAUUUUUCUGCGUCAUGGUUGCUUAAAAAUUCAUUUCUCGAGUUUCAAAACUCAAAAUUAAGAUCCAUAAAUUUUUCCUGAAACUAGACUCAUAUAUAUAUCUACUAAUUUUUUUCUAGAAUUUUUGACUUGGCCAAUUAGUACAGUUUAUUAGUUAAAGUUUCCCCUGUUUCAAAACUCAACUACACUGACCUCUUCUUACUACGAGCCAUGUUUCUUCAUGUAAAAAAAUUCAUAUGGUUAAGCCGUUUGUUUCUCUCAAAACUAGAUUCAACAAGGAUUCUAACUAUAUAAAUUACACCUUCUAAUUAGUUUUGUAUAUUUUAUGGUGAAUUUCCAAAUUUGAAACAGGGGAUCCAGAAAUCACUCUGACCCUGUUUCACUAAAACUCAGAUAUCUCAUAAAAUAUAAUACCUUUACCUGUUUUGCUUAUUCCAUAAGAAAAUAUACAUAAUAAGCUUUAAUUUCAUAUAUUAUUCAUCUUCAAACUAUGUUUCUGUAAUUUUUAGUGAUUUUUGAAAGUUACGUCAUUUCUGUUACUUGAAUCUGUUUUUAGGUUACUUUCACAUUUUUCAUAAUUUUCAUGUGAUAAUCAUCAAUCAAUCAUACAUAUUAAUAAAUAUGUAUAUCAUCGGCUAUUUUAUUAGCUAAUCACUAGCAAGUAUUUACACAUUAUUCAUUGUUCAUAUUAUACCAAAAGUAGCUAAGUUUCUAUACAUGCCAUACCCAAAACAAAACGUCUAGUUAUACCGAGUUAUUUCUUUGAUAGUGUGAUCGGCCUCCGACGUUUCCUUCGAUCCCCGAGUGACUAGAUAAGUACUAUAAGAAGAAGAAAAUAAAGAGAUUAAGCACUAGGCUUAGUAAGCUUACAAGCAAAUAAAUCACAACAUUCAACAUAAUGGAUAAUUAUGCAUAAUAUCAUCUAACAUCAUAAAUUUCUCUACUUCUCAAUUUGUAUCUUCUUCUUUAUUCCCUUACCUUCUUUCUUACCUGACCUUUCCUUUUUCAUAAGUAUAAUCUACUUUUCCUUUACUGUUAAUUCACUGUAAUUUAACUCGUAUCCUGACCCAUUGAACCACUCGGAAUACUAAGGAUACUAGGGUCGUUCCUGUCUAUCAAUAUCCUGCCAAUGCCAUGUCUUUGACAUGGACUUACAUGAAUUAUUCAUGUCUCCAAUGCCAUAUAUAAUAUGGACUUACAUGGCUCAAUCCUGUCUCCAAAGCCAUAUUUCUAAUAUGGACUUACAUGGCUCAUUUCUGUUCUGUCCUGUCAACUCUAAUAUCCUAACAUUCCUAGGGUUCAACCGGGGCUUUCUAACACUUUUCCUCUGUCACUCCACCUUAAAUUCGACUUUACAUAUUUUCAUAACAUAAGUAUAUAAAUGCUGGAAAUUGACAAUAAUAAUGUAAAAUAAAAGAAUAUUGCAUUUAUUUACUGUAACUUACCUUGAUACAAAAUGUGACUAAACUUUACAAUUUAGUCCUUUACUUUUUCUUUUCCCCGAUCUACUCCCGAAUUUCGUUCUUCUUGAUCUAUAAUAGCAAAUUUAACUUAUUUAAUAUUCACAUUUAUUAAAACAGUCCUUGACCCAAACUUUUGCAAAAUUAUAUUUUUACCCCUAAACUUUCACAUAUUUGCACUUUUGCCCCAAGGCUCGUAAAUUAAACUUCAUCCUAUUUUCUUAUGUUUUAUGACAUGCUGAUCAUUUUUCCCUUCUAUGGCAAUAUCAAAAUCACACUCUAACAUAUACUUAUGACUAUUGGUAUUUUUUUCCAAUUUAAGCCCUUUUACUCGUUUUCACUUAAAACCGAGUAGCAUAAGUUGUUUAACAUAAUUUAAAACCUCAUAUUCUAUCAUAAGACACCAAAAUACACAAAUUUCAGCCAUGGGUAUUUUUCCAAAUAUGAACCCUAGGCUGAAUUAUUGCUAGAAUAAGCUUAAUCAAGUUACCGGGACUCCAAAAACGUAAAGAUCAUUAAAAACGGGGCUUGGAAUCACUUACUAUGAAGCUUGAAAGUUGAAGAAACCCCAGCUAUGGAGGAGAGCAAAAAUCGGCAGAAACUAAUUGAGAAGAUGACCAUUUUUGUGUUAUUUUUCCCUAUUUAAUUCAUUUAAUAUCCAAAUGACCAAAUUACCCCUCCUUACUAAACUUUCAAAAAUUCCUUCCAUGUCCUAAUUUUUGUCCAUGAACUUAAAAUUGGUCAAAUUGUUAUUUAAACCCUCCUAAUUAAUAUUCCAAAGUAAUUUCAUACUAAAAACUUCUAGAAUGCAAGUUUUGCAAAUUAUUCAAUUUAGUCCCUAACCUCAACUUAAGCAGUUUAUGCAUGGAAUUUCAUCACGAAAUUUUCACACAAUCAUGCAAUCAUACCAUGAACCUUAAAAUAAUAGUAAAAUAAUUUUUUCUACCUCGGAUUUUUGGUUUCGCAACCACUAUUCCGUUUAGGCCCUAUUUUGGGAUGUUACAGAAAUAACCCAAAAUAAGGUUGUCUUAAUAAUGCAAUAAAAAACUGAAAACCUUAAUUUUUUUUGACUAUUUCUUUUUUUGUUCCAAAACCAUAUAUAUCGAAACCAAAUAGAAAUAAUGUAGUGGUUCAAAGCUAAAUAAUUAACAAGCACAUGUAUUCAUAAUUUUGGCAUGGAUAAAAACACCAAAGCAAUUCACACAUAUACAUGUAUUCAUAAUCAAAUAGAAAAACUUACCUGAAUUUACCAUGUAAAUCUAAAGUUGUAUUUAUGAUUAAACAGAUAUUCACAUAAAUACUUGAAAAAUAUUUUCAAGCCAAUAAAUCUCAAAAACAAAAUCAUAAUAGUUGGCAUAUCCCACAAUUCAUACAAUAAACCAUAUCAUCAUAAUCUAACCAAAUAUUUGGAACCAUAAGAUGCCAAAACCUAAAAUUAUAGAACCAAACUUAAAACCAAAUUAUUUAAAUAUGAAUAUAGUUGACAUGAAUUUGCACCAAAGCACCCGUAGAAUUGAAUAUAUAACCAUAGCAAUAAUAAUAAUAAUAAUAAUAAUAAUAAUAAUAAUAACAAUUUCAACAAUAUCCAUCAUAACUUAAUUUCACCAAUUAAACUAUAAAAGAUAUCUUACUGAAUAAUGGUUAUAAACACCUAUUCAUGCCAACUAUAAUCAUGCAUUAAUCCUCCAAAUCAUUUAUAUGCAUAUAAUAUAUAUACACACAAUAUAUACACACAAUUAUAUCAUUUAUAUAAUAAAAAAAUAAUACUGGUUUGUCUUACAUAUUUCAUGUAAACUAAAAUUUAUAUUAAUGACUAAAGACAUUAACAUAAAACUCAUUUAUACGCACAAAUACUUAAAAAAAACCAUAACCACCAAAUAUAAAAGAAUCCCAAAUUGUAUAAAAGCCUUCAUAUGCACAACCACUUUUGAAAAUUCAUAGCCACCAUAUUAAAAAAAAUCUCAAACAUUUUAAUUUUAGUCGAGUUCUAUAAGGACUAAAACUUAUAUAAAAUAAUUAUAGCAGGAACCAAAAGUAAUCAUUUGUAUAUAUGAAUUGAAUUCAAAGGUGAAUAUAAUUCAUCAUGAAUUAAGACAAAAGAUGAUAUUUUCAUAUACAUUCAACCACAAAUAAAAAAUUUAAAACAAAUAGUGUGAAAAAAAAACAUCUUAACAACUUUCAUUUAUUCAUUAUUAAGCAUAAUCAUGAGCAAAAGCAUAAUAUACAAAUAGCAAACUAGAUUUUAACCUCAGGCAGCUUGUAUUUUGCGUUGUUUUAUAUGCGCAUACAUGCUAAAACAAGCAAAAUAAUUGACAUACACUACAGCAAAAUUGACUUUUAGCGGCGUUUUUUUAGGCUUUUAGCGGCGCUUUUAAGCGCCACUAAAACUACUCGCGGCGUUUUUACAAGCGCCGCAAAAAACGCCUUUAUAGAUGGCACCACUAAAUUUUGCGGCAUUUAUUUGAAAAAAACGCCGCUAAAGGUCAGGACCUUUAGCGGCGCUUUUCCCACAAACGCCGCUAAAGGUCAUAAAAAUUAAAAAAAUAUAUAUUAUAAAAUAUUGUAAAAGUCCUGAAAAAUAUAAAAAAAUUAAAAUUCAUUAUCAAAAUAUUGAGAAGAAGAAUAAUCUAUGAUAUAAAUACAUCCCGCCAAACAAAAUACCGCACUUAUACACCAGAAAUCUAACAAAAUACAAAUAGAACAAAAUAAGGAUGAAUGAAAGACAUUAAUGAUAUAUAAAAUCAUUGUUUCUAAUGCAUAUGUAGAAAUCAAGCCAUGGUGUGCACCAAGGAUCCGGCUCUCGUAAUAGCACCAGGCCUUGAUCAAAAUAUUACUGCGUUUGAAAAUAUGAUCUUUUCCAAUUAGCUGGUCAACCUGAAAAACAAACAGUUCAAAAGAAGUCAUGUGUCAAUUAAACUUGCCACCCUUGAUAUUGCUAUAGGAAUUAAUGCAUGGAGAGUGAUGGAGAUGGGAUUGGGGAUUCCUCAAGGCUGCAGCAGUAAACUUAAGCAACAGUGUGGGAAAAGGUGAAAUGAGAGAUUUUAGACUAAAUCCAAAGCAUUAAUUUCUAUUAAAUGAAAACAAACAAACAAAUAUAAUUGUUAAAGAAACAUUAAUUUCUCUUAAAUCCGGUAAAAUCUUAAAGGAUUUAGAAAUGAAUGAAAUAUAAGGGGGAAAAGAAAGAGGAAAAGCUAAAAUUCACUCUGUCGGUUAGUAGUGAUAUGGAAGACAAAAAGGAUAAAACACCACAUACCAAACGAAGAUCAUAAAACUACUAAGAAUUUAAUGCCAGAAAAUGAAACAAUGUACCAUUUAGAAUUAUACUUUUGAAUCAUCUUUUGCAUCAAGUGAUUUAUAUGAAUUAUGAUUACCACAUCCACAAUGUUUGGAAUGGAAACGGAUUCUAAACAUAUAAAUGCUGGAUAGGAUUAGAUGAUACCUUCUCCAGAAAGCAAAGUGCAGAUAGACCAGCCGUUUGAUUGAAAGAGAUGUCCACCGGUAUGUCAUUCACAGUGCAUUUCACUAUUUUAACCUGAAAUCAAAUUCCAAAAUAACCGAAAUGAGCUCAAGAUGAUUUUAAGCUAUAUUUGCUGCUUACGUACAUAUACUAAUAUGCAAUAAAUACCAUUUAACUGCACGGGAACAACGACAAAGAUGCAGCUGAAAAUUUAAUAUCAGCAUAAUAGCACAAAUAGAAGUUGUUGCCAAGUGUCCAACAGCAUAUGACUUAUGUGGUUUUAUUCAAUAUCAGUUAAGCACCUAGUCGUUUGCUACCCUAAUUUCCGUUAUCUACAUUACAGGAACGUCUUUUAAAUUUUUACACGUGACAGAAAGUUAUAAAGGGUGCUACCUUAAUCGAUUAGCAUUGGGAUGCAGUUUCGAUGCUAUGUCCAAUAAAAGCGAAGUUAAGGAAAGAAAUAAAUCAGAUGAAAAACACAAUCCUUUAAUUAAAUAAUAUUUAAAUAAUUAUUAUAUUUAUAAUAAUAUUUAAAUAAAUUAAUCCAAAUUAUAUAAUUUAAAAAAUUGUGUAUAAAAAGUUGAAAACCAUAUAAAAUGAAAUGUUAAUUUUGUUCCAUGAAAAAAUAAAAAUAAAAAUAAUACACGUAAUGCAUAUAUUCAAAAAUGAAAUACAUGAGAAAAACUUCAAAACAAAAAUUAAUGACAAAAAAAAUCAUAAUAUUUAGUCAUGUAUAAUACACAGAAGUUUAUUACUGAAAAAUGAAAAAGCAUAAUACACAGAAGUUCUCACUUCAUAUAUCAUCAAACUAUAGAUGGUUAAGAAUGUCAGUGUCAAAUCAAGAAGGAAAAACUAAUAUAUUAAGAACUAAAACUCUACAAAAUUAAGCUUAGUUAAAAGUAGACAUGGUUGAUAGCAGAAGAUGAUGUAACAUAAGUCACAAACUAUACACUGUUUCUUAACUUUGUCAUAAAUAUUAGCACAAAAGAAAAAAGGGAAAUGCAGUUAAACAACUUGCUAUUUACAUUCAAAUUUAAAGACCCAUACGAUAGAGUCUAAAAUAGCAAGCAUACCCAACUCUCCUUUCCUGAAAGGUUCUAAACAAUUCAUUUUCUUCUACUUCGAACCCCACACCUUUGUCCAAAACAGGGACUGGAAUAACAUUUAGCCCAUACACAAGAAUUGAUCUAAAUUCAUGCUAAUAACAUCAUCAAGAGAUCAAGGGUGCCAAUUUCAAAGUGAAUAAAAGUUCCAACAUACCACUGCCAGUUGUUCUGCCAUGAAAUGGUUCACUUCCUCAAAGCUAAAGUUUCUUGUCUCAUACUCUCUUCCUGCCAAUAUUAUCAAGACUGAUCAAACGAACAAAUCCAACAUUUAAAUUUAUUUCAUUGGUAUUAUCAGAAGAAAGGCAUUGUGUACCAAUGAGUUUGAUAACAACAUUAGCCUUUGCUAUCACAGCCUUGAUUGAAUUUUCAUCCCUUGGAUCGUAUUUCAUUGGCACUAUCUAAUAAAGAGAAAUAUCAAAUUAAAACCAAAUAAAACACAAUAAGCACUUCAAUAUGAAUUCAAAGAAAGAAGGGGAAAAACGCAAUUCCAUAAGGUAUGCAACCUGUCCUAAAUCUCCCAUCAACUUGAGAUGACGAGGGUUAUCCUCGGAACCUCUGAAGGGAACUAACACCUGAGAUCCCAUUUUAGCUAAAAUAAAAAGAAAAAAAAUCAGUAUACACAAAUAAACCUUAAAACAACAACAACAAUAGCAGCAAGCUCUCUGUAAUGUACACAUUAAGGCAAAACAAUGUACAAUUAUAACUACAAGAUUAAGUUUAAAUUACCCAGUUAUUGUACAAGAUAACAACCAAGGAAUCCAGUAGCGUCGAAAACAGUAGCUAUAAUGCCACUGCAGGGGAAGGGAAAAUCAUUUGACAUUCAAAGAGAAAACUUUUAAAGAUAAAAGUUCAAAUCCCAAAAAAAGGACCUGACGGAAGAUCGGCCAUCGGUGCCCUUGCGAACGAGGUGCCCAUGCCCUUGUGGGAAGCCAGUGUAGAUCCGUAUCGCUGAUGAUCACCUCCAUAGUCUGAAAAGGAAAAUCGAUAGUAAAUGAUUUAUAACACUUCGAUAAAAGGUAAAAGAAAAAAAACCCAUCAAUUUGUUGCAAAUGUUAAACACCAUUAGAAAGAAGAAGAAAAGAUAAAUUGGAGAAAAUAAAAAGAGGGAAUGGAAAUGUUACAGUGAUCGGAGAGAGGGUAAAUAGACUUGAUAGAAGAGAUUGAAGCAGUUGGCCUCAGAGAUUGGAAUAGUUAAAACAAUUGAAGACUCAGGGAUGGAAUUAGGACUCGGCGGAAACGAUGGCAGUGGCAGUGGCAGUGGCGUUUACCGUCUGGACGCUUGCACUUAUGCUUCUCGAAAUCAAAGACUGAAUAAGGAUUAAGAAAAGUUCUGCAGAGAAAAAUCUAGGGUUCCAAAUUUGGGCGUUUAAGAAUCGAGGUUGAGGUAGAAAAAAUGGCAAUGGGCAUGGAGUUAAAAGUUCUGAAUGAGCAAAAGAGUAGUUAAAUUUUAUUUGGGGGAUUUAGGAUGAGAAGAAGAGGGAGUAACGAGCGGGUAAGCAAAAGUCCUUUUUUGAGUGAGCGGGAUUUUGAUUUUUUUGGGUAAAAAAAUGGCUUUUUGUGGUGUUCUUAAAAAAAAAGCCACUACGCCACUAUAGCUUAUUUUUUAUGCCAUUAUUGCUUAAUUUUAAUUUUUUUUCAUAUUUAACAUAUUUUUUCUAUUUUUUUUCAAAAUUUUUGUGUUGAGAUUAUCAUUUUUUGGAAUUUUUUUAAUUUUGAAUAUUGAAUUUUUUAACUGAAAUAUGGAAUAAAAUAUUAAAUUUUAAAAUUUUAAGUUCCUUAUUUUUUAAUUUUUAAUUUUUUAUUUUAAAUUUUAAAUUUUAAAUUUUUUUGAAUAUUUUUAUAAUUUUUAAACUAUCAUAUAAAAUACAAAAGAAAACUUUAACAGAAAUAAAAUGAAAUCGAUGAAUUAAAAAAAUAUAAAAUGACACAGCAAUACAAACAUUAUUCUUUUAAGUAUGGUCCACAUUAGUUGUUUAGAUUUUUAUAUAAAUGACAUUUAAUUUUGAUAGAGAUACAUCUCAGAAUUAUAUAUGAAUUUCGAUUUAAUGUGUAAUUGUAGACGUGAAAUUCUAAUUGUGGUUUAAAUGUAUAGUCGAAACUUUAAUUUUGAUUUAAUCAUACACAUUUUAAAAAAUAAAUACAUCAAAAUAUUUUUAUAUUGAAUAUAUAUAAAAAUUUAUGUAUGCAAUAUAUAAAUAUAAAAUGAUAUUAUAUUAAUAAUUGUGUUAAUAAUUCACAAGAACUGGAUCAAAUUAAAGUUCAUGUAUACAACUGCACACUAAAUCCUAAACCCUAAACCCUAAAUCAUAAACUUUAAAAUAGUAACUCAUAAACAUUAAACCCUUAACCAUAUACCCUAAACUAUAAUGAUAAUUAAUUUAAUAUUUUAAAAUUAAUAUUAUCUCUUUUACAAUUAUAUAAGAAAAUAUUUAUCAUAUAAAUUAAAAAACACUAAUUAAUCUAAUCUCUAAUCUCUAAACCCUAAACCCUAAAACAUAAACAAUUAACCUUGAACCCCUAACCCUUAACCCCCGACCCCUAAGCCUUAAACCCCUAAAGCUCAAACCCCAACCCUUAAACCAUAAACCAUAAACCAUAAUCCCUAAACCCAUAAUCCAUAAACUUUAAAAUAGUAACUCAUAAACCUUAAACCCUUAACCAUAUACCCUAAAUCAUAAACCCUAAACUAUAAUGAUAAUUAAUUCAAUAUUUUAAAAUUAAUACUAUCUCUUUUACAAUUAUAUAAGAAAAUAUUAACAUAUAAAUUAAAAAACAAUCAGUCAUAUACCAAAAAUCUUUAAAAUUAUUUUAAAUAAUAGUAUUUUAAUUUUUUUCAUUUUUAACAAAUACUUUUACUUUCAAAUUUUUUUUACGUGUCAUUAUUUUUUUCUGAAAAAUUUAAAUAUUCAAUUAAAAAUAAAUUGUAUUAAAAUGAACCACUUAAAUUAAAUAGAUAGAUGAAAUGUUUUUUGCGGCGUUUUUCAAAAAGCGCCGCUAAUACUCGAUAUAUAAAACAACGGUGUUUUGCAAAACUUUUUGCGGCGCAGUUGGCAUAAUUUUUUGCGGCGUUUUUUUAAAAAGCGUUGCUAAAGGUUACCUAUAGCAGCGUUUUUUAAAAAGCGCUGCUAAUGCUUAUCUUUAGAGGCGUUUUUCAAAAGCGCCGCUAAAGCCGCGGCAGUUUAGCAUAAUUUUUUGCGGCGUUUUUUUAAAAAGUGCCGCUAAAGGUGACCUAUAGCGGCGUUUUUUAAAAUGCGCCGUUAAUGCUUGAUCUUUAGCGGCAUUUUUCAAAAAGCGCUGCUAAAAACCUAUUUUGGUGAAGUGAUAAUGCCAUAAAAAUUAAUCUAAAAUGAAUUAUUAGAUUUGCAGAAUUAAUCUAAAAAUUAUGAAUCUAGAUUUACAUAUAAUAAAUCAAGAUUAUCAAGAAUGUUAUAUUAUGCAAUUGCAAUUAAAACAUUCUAAACAAGAAAAUCUUAAAAGAUCAAAACCAUAUUUAAUCCAAGAUUCAUUGUUGAAUGGAAAUCAAAUAAAAAAUAACCCUAAGAAGAUUGAAUCAUAACUAUCCAAAACCUAAAAAAUAUUUACAAGAAUUUCAAAGAUUCAACAUAGAAAUAUCAAAUCUAUAAGAUCUAAAAAACGAAUCAAUCCAAAAUAAUAGAGAAUUAAUUCAUUCCAAAAAGAAUAGAAACUUAAUCAAUUUCCAAUGAUUCAACAUGACGAGGCUCGGAUGCCACUUGUUGGAUUUGUAAAAUAAAUCUGAAAUAAAACUUAAUAAACCAGGAUCUAUCAUGUCAAAUCAUCAAGAAUAAAUCAAGAAAAAAACUAGAUGCGGAAGCGUACCUGAAUCCAUAAAUUCCUUGAAGUUUUACUGGAUCUUGGGGAUUUGAUCUUCCAAAUUAGAACAUAAGAAAUUCAGAGAAUAGCUGCUCUCUUUUUCCUAAUGAUGGGAUAUUAGAAAAGAUAUCUUGUGUAUAAUUUGGGGACCAUAACCCUAAUAUUUAUAACCUUAGCAUAUUAGUUCUAAUCAAAUUCUAAUUAGCCCAUCAUUAAUCAUAAUUUGAUUAGAAUUCAAGUACUAGAGUAUCUACACAUAUUUGACCCAUCCUUUAUUUAAUAAUUGAAACCCAAUAAAAUUUUAACCAAAUUAGAUCACUCUUAAUUUGGGCUAACAUAUCAUGAUAAUAAAUAAUAACAUGUAAUUACCCUUAUUAUAUAUGUGAUGUCCAUAUUUUCCAACAAAAUAUUUUUGUAAUUUUUCGAACCGAGUUGAUGUCUGGUUAACUCGUAGCACCAACUCAACCAAGGGUUUAAAUAAUAGUAUAGGUCAUUACAUUUUAAUUAAUUUUUAGAAUAAGUAUGUUUUGGAAUUAUUUCUAAAAAUAUGUUUUUUUGAUGCACCUCAAUAGUCAAAACUAAUAACUAAUUUCCCUAAACUUUAGACCCCUAAUUUCAACAAAGUGUAUAAUUGUUGAAAUGUCCAUUUGUUGGUCUAAGCGGCAAAUGCAAAGCACCAAGAUCAUUUUUUAUGCACUAAAUCAUCCACAGUGUUAUUAUAUUGGUUUACCUCAAAUAAAACAUUUUUUACUGAUCCCCAUUGUUUCUACUACAAUAGAAAAUCUUACACAUGGCCCUUAACCUAACAUUAGACAACUCGAUGGUUUUCGUUAAUCAUCGUGCUUAAACAAACUCAUAAAAAGUUUACAUGUAUAAUUGAGAAACCUUAACCCAUCUUCUUAAACUAUAAAUCCCCAGAGUCGUGGGUUGAGUAAGCUAGAAACCAUGGGGGAUUUUUUUUGAACUUGGCAUCUUUUUCAAAUAACAGAAAAACCCUAACUUAUUUUCCUAAACCUUAACCCCAAAAGUUUAAUCCCCUAACAAAACCUUAGACACUAAAUAAAACAUUUAAUAAAAUCCCAUCAAAUUCUUUCUUCUAAGGGUUUUUAUGCAUCUCUAACUUCAAUAAAAAGUAACCUCAACUCUCAUAUUCAAAUGCCUUUUGUGAUAAUGGAUUUCCUCAAGUGUUGGAGUGCCAAUUGAGUAUGAAAGCUUCUUUUAAACUAACUUUAAAUAGGCUAUAGGGUUUAUGAUAAACCUUGUUUAUGAUUAGUAUGAAAGAUUUCACUAUAUCAAAACAAUGUUUCAACACUUGUGGGAAACCAUGAUCUAAAUCAAGAGAGUUCAAGUUUUCCUUGAUUGAAGUUAGAUUUUGGUCGAAAUCAUUUAUCUAAAAGUGAUAGUAGCCAGAAUAAGUUGGAGGAAAAUAAUUUUAAAAGACUUUAUCAAAAUUUUAAUUUAAGGUUUAAGGUUUGAGGGAAAAUGGUAAAUAUUUAAGGGUUAAAAGAUUUUGGUUUGGGGCUAGAAGGAAAAGGUUAAGGUUCAACUCCUGUUCAUUAGGUAAACUGACUACAAUCUUGACACCCAUGGGUUGUUCAGCUUUAGUCAUAAUAAAAUGCAAACAAAUACAUAACAAACAAUUGUUCAUCUUUCAAAAUCAAAGCUAACCACUAUUUGAAGAUGUUGGGUCUAGUACCCUAAAUCUAGUAUAUUCAUUUUGUAUAGUUGUAUUUUUUGAGAAAAUUGGUUUAAUAAAAAUAUCAAUUGAUUACAUUAAUAGCCUUUGUCUAUUAUCCUCAAUGAUUUUGUAUGCAAAGUAAAAUGGAAAUAAAAAUUGGCUCACUAGUUAUCUAACAUUUAACUAAUACUAAAUCGUAUUACGUGGUAAGAUAGUAAUACAGAAAGACAACUUGUAUUAGUAGAAAAACCUAAAUAAGUCCUUAGUCUAAUUGUAAAUGAGCAAACCGGUUUAAAGACUUAAGUCGUCUAGUAAGUCCAAUUAGGGAGAUGCUUUGUCUUGAGCAUCAGAAUGAAGGACUCCUAGAAGAUAGAGACAUAGAUGUCACUGAAUAGACUGACAAUAUAUUGGACAGGACCUAAGUAGGAUAGAUCCUAGAUUAAUUUAUGAAUUUAUUCACUUGAGACAUUCAUAGUGUGGCAUACCUUAAUCUUGAUUAGAUGAUGGACUAUGCAUGUGUGAAUCGUAUACUUUGAUGGAAGUAAAAGCUUGAAUUCAAAUAAAUAAGGAACCGAAAAUUGGUAUAUUGCGUAUACGGCUUCUACAACAUAUAGCAUCAUUCACAAUAGUGGAAUUCAUAGCCCAAAUAAUAGGUAAAUGAUAUCCUCUCAUUGGUAUUACAUGAUAUAUGAAAAGGAAACGUGGCCACGAGUCAUUUGUCUUUGUGAUAAAUGACUUGAUUACUAUUUAAUAGUACUAGGGUGUAAUACCCCUAACCCCUAUCUGUCGCUGAAACAGGGUCACAGAGUAUUACCAGAGUUUACAGAUCAAUUACAAAAAAUUUCAUAUCAUUUACUAUUAAUAUCUGAAAUUUAUCAUAUCAUCUCUUAAAUGGGUCCUCGAGGCCCAAAAUACACGUUAGAAUCAAAUCAAGACUAAAUUGGAAACUCAAAAAAAUUUUCGUGAAAUUUUAAAAUUUAUCUUACGUACAAGGGACACAGCCUGUGUGGUCAGGCCAUGUGGCUCACAUGGCCAGGUGACACGCCUAUUUCUUAGGCCGUGUGGGUAUUCAAUGUGAAACACACGACUGUGUCCCAGCCCGUGUUCAAAUUAGGGUAGCUACUGAUGAUGAUGAUUUACUUAACUAACUAAAUUACGACAAAGGCAAGCGCACCUAUCGAGUAGUAGUACAGCUAUGGUGAGUCGGGGAUAUCAUAUCCACAAGGACUAAAAUUACUAGUAAUUACCUUUUUUCUAUUAUUUAGCCUAUAAAUUGAAGAAGUUUGUUUUAAAUCUAAAAUUAUCUAAACUAAUUAUUAAGAACUCGACAGAGAAUAAAGUAUGAAAAUAAUCCAAUUGACCAAUGAGAGAGACAAUACCCAGGAAAGAAUCCACUUAGACUUCACUUAUUAUUCUGAAUCUGAAUUAAACGAUUUAUUCACUUGCCUUGAUCCGUAAAAAUCCCUAAAUUAUAUUAAUAUUUAUUUCGAGAGUAAAAAUAACUGCCUUUAGGUUGAUUAAUUGAAAUCUCUUUCUAAUUAAAACCUCUAUUGUCGCAUUAACUCGAUCUAUGGAUUCCCCUAUUAGAUUUGACUCUAAUCCGGUAGAUUUAUGUCAUCCUAUUUCUAGGAUUGCAUGCAACUCCACUCAAUUAUGUCAGAUCUACUCUUAAACAGGGACUUUUGCUCCACUGAAUUAAGCACAUCAAUCAUGAAUUAAUAUCCUGAAAACAUUAAAACAUGGAAUAAGUACACAUAAUUGAGAUCAAGAAAUCAAUUAUUUAUCAUGUAAUUCAAAAAAUUAAAUAACAAGAUCCGUCAUAGGUUUCAUCUUCCCUAGGUAUUUAGGGAAUUUAGUUCAUACUUUGGGAGGAAAACAUUUCAAAUUUAGAAAAACUACAAAACAUAAAGAAACCCAAAAACUUCUUGAGAAGUUGACUGGGGAUCUUCAAUCUUGAAGGAGAUCUUGCUUCUGAGUUGAUUCCAAGGGUGUUCUUCGAGUAAUUUCUUCGUUCUUCUCUGUGUUCCCCCUUUAGGUCCUCUUUUAGUGUGUAAAUAGACUUUAAAAUGCUCAAAAUCCUUAAAAAUUGGCUUUUUCUUCGUGUUUGGGAAACAAGGAGUGAUAUUGACACAGGCUGGAACAUGGGCAUGUGGUCAGCCCGUGUGAUGUGCUUAGUCUGUGUGGGAAUGACCAGGCCGUGUAGAUCCUGAAAGUAGCUCGUUUUGUCUGAUUUUGUCCUAUUUUCUGCUCCUUUUGCCCCCCUAUGCUCUUCUAAGUAUAAAAACAUGAAAUUAAAGGAUUAAGAGCAUCAAAUUCACUAAAUUAUAUAAUAAAUCAUCCAAAAACAUGCCAAGCAUGGGAUUAGAACAUGUUACUUUUAUGGUUUAUCAACUAACUUGGAUCACACGGCCAGCCACACGCCUGUGUUCUAGGCCGUGUGGACAAUUUAAUUUUCAAAAAUAGGUGCAAGAUUCACACGGCCAAGACACAUGCCCAUGUGUUGGCCUUGUGUUUUACACGGUUGAGACACACGCUCGUGUCUCUGUCCGUGUGAUCAAUUCUGAGCAUUUUGUUUCUAAAAUUGUAAGAUGUAGGGGACACACUAUCAAACCACAUGCACAUACAUAUUGUAACGCCCCAAUUUUCUGGAAUUCUGUGAAUGUUGGCAUAGGUUUAAUUAUGUUUUUGGGCCUCUAGAAGGCCCAAGCUUAGGAUAGAACCCGGUAAUUUUAGUUAAUUUUUGUUCCAUAAGAAAAAGGGAGUGAAAUUAUGAAAUAGGACCUAUGUGAAAAUGUUUGAAAAUGCUAUAGGCUAAUUUGUAGUGGCCAAAUAAAUACGAGUGCAAAAUAGGAGGAUUUGCAUGUCAAACCUCCCAUUUUACAUGUAGUGGCUGGUCAUCAUGUUGUUGUAGACAAAAUGUGCACUUGAUAUCCAUAAUUUAUGGUACAAAUUGAUACAAAUUGAUAAUGGGUUAGGUAAAUGUUUCAUGAUAAUGGGUUAGGUAAAUGUUUCAUGAUAAUGGGUUAGGUAAAUGUUCCAUGAUAAUGGGUUAGGUAAAUGUUCCAUGAUGGGAAUUUCAUGUCUUUUGUGUUAAAGAAUUAAAUGGAUGAAAUAUGAAAUUUUAUUAAAAGAAAAAGGGGUGAAAAGAACAAAGUUUUGGUCCAUCUUUGUUCAUCAUAGCCGAAAGUUAGAGAAGAGAAAGGAGAGGAGAAAGUUCUUGAAUGUUCGGUCACUUGGGGAAGAAAAUUGAAGGUAAGUUCAUGGUAGUUUGCUUCUAUUUUGAGGUUCAUGAGUUCUUCUUGAUUCUACCUUAACUCUUGAAGCAUAUUUUGGUUUUUAGUUGUGUUGUGAGCAUUUAGUCAUGAAUUAAAAUGAAGGAAAUGGUUGUUGUUUCAUGUUCUUUUGAUGAAAAAUGAAAGAUAGGUGAAGUUGAGCCAAACAAAUGAGCAUGCAUGUGCCUUAGAUGCUAAAGGGAAAAAUCGGCUAACAUGUUGUGCUUUAAAAUGAUGAAAUGGAGAUUAUACUUAAGUAAAAUCAUAGAUAUGUGAUGAUUGAUUGGUGAUAUACAUGUUUAAAGAACAUGCAUGCAAGGUAUGUGUGAAAGAGUGAUUUGGUAAUAAAUCUGCUUGGGACAGCAACAGUAACGUGACUUUGGAAAAUCACCAUAAAUUGUGGGAGAUGAAUUAGAAGCUGAAUAAAUUAUGUAAUUAAAGCUUAUUGAGUCUAGUUUCUAAUGAAAUAAACAAGAACAUAUUUUGAAUUAUGUACAAUGAGAAAUUUGAUUCGUAAUGAAGAGUGGUCAGAUUAGUUAAACAGUGAAACAUGGGAAACUUUGAGAAAAAUCUGGUAUUGAUUGGCUAAACCAAAAAUUCUAAAAAUUUUAUGGAUAGAAGAUAUAUGAGUCGAUUUUCAGGGAAAAUUAACGGCACUUGAUUUGGAUUUUCGUAGCUCCAGUUAUAAAUGAUUUAGUGACUGUUGCUCAGGGAGGCAGCUUGCAGUGAAAUUAUGAUUAUGUGGUAAACACUGACAAAAAUUUGUUAAUGAGUUGCUUAUUGAUUUCUUAUAAGCUUACUCUGAUCUGUAGGUGUGGUUGGCCGAAUAUUGUAAGGGGUUAAUAUGUAGUUCGUAUUUGAAUAGUUAGAUUAACGUGUUAGUAAUCCAAUUGUAGGCGGUUCGUGUGUGGAUCUCGUCAGCAUAUCGUCGCAAACAGGUGUGUAACUAACACCCUCUUAUAGACUAGAUCGGCACAAGCCGAAAAGCCGAAAUGCCGAAAAGCCAGUAUUUUGAGAUCUUGCGAGUGUGUGAAUGCUCAUGAGAUUAAUAGUUUGAUGUAUAUGGUAAAUUAAAGUGAUAAGACUGCAGAGUGCGCGAUUCUGUGCAUUUCGAUAUUUUUGGGCUUAAUGGGCCAAAAACGGGAUAAUGGGCCAACGAGCCCAAAUUGGUAAGAAAAUGCGGUAAAUGUUUCUGAUUGUAUGUAAAUGGCUAUGUUAUGUAUGAAAACCUCAAGAAUAGUUAAAUUACUUGAAUACCCCUAUGUAUGCAAAAUUACCAUUAUACCCCUAGGGUUACUUUUGACUGAAAAGCAUGACGAUCUGAUUUUGUAUGAUGUAUGCCAUGAUUAUAUAUCUGUUGCAUGGGGACUUGGGUUAUACUAUGGAGGAAGUGUCCUGGUGGCUAUGCCACAAUUAUCUGAUCUGGUGGCUCUGCCGCAUAUAUCUGUCCUGGUGGUUAUGCCACAAUUAUCUGAUCUGGUGGCUCUGCCACAUAUAUCUGUUCUGGUGGCUCUGCCACAAUAUCUGUAUCUGGUGACUUCGUCACAAUAUCUGGCAGCCUCGCUGCGAUUUCUGUGGUGUGUAGCGGUUGGGUGGGUCGAGUAGUCUCCCCACAUGGUGUAAGGCUGGUACCGGGGUGUUAUGGAUGAAUCUGGGUUGGGUUUCUGCAUAAACAUGUAAUAUCUGUUCUGUUCUGUUAUGGGCCUAUGGGCUUUAUUUUGAAUUCUGUUCUGGGCUAAGGCCAACUUAUUCUGUUUCUGUGGUUUGAGCUGAUAUAGGCUAUGGUUGGGUUAAUUUACACACUGAGUUUCCCCAAACUCAUCCCUUUUAUUUUCAUCCACGCAGGUAAUCCCCAACCAUAGUGGGCUUGGAGCUGUGAGGGAAUUCGGAGUGGCCACCCAUUCUGAAAGUUUGAUUUUUUUCUGGUGAACUGGAUAUCCUUUUAUUUUCGUUUGAGGUUUUGGGUUUUUAAAUGUAAUAAGGCCGCUUAAUUAUUUUUGAUGGUUUUAAUAUGUGUUACUAAGAUAAGUAUUACUUAUUUUAAUUGUUGAAAUUGGAAAGCUUUAGGGCGCGUUUUCAAAUACAACAAUUGAUUUCAAAAUACCAUGACAACAAGCAAAGCUUCCACAAUGAAAGUAUUUUCCAAAAUUAAUCACUUUUCCUAAAAAAGACUUAAUCAAAUCAGUUACCUAGAAAUAGACAUGACGUUAAGUUGUGGCAAUGGUGGCAUGCAUGUCUAGGAUUGGAUCCGAAGGGAGCUUGGUACUUAAACAGUCUGAUGGACUCACCUCCUCUUUUCCGGUUUCCUACCUGGUGCACAGCUUCCAUUCACUUUAACCUAUAAUGAAAUUAUCUUUUAAAACACUAAGUAAGUUUUUCUGGAUCAACAAUAUAAAAUGUUUUGAACGCUUCGAUGUGGCAUGUCGGAUCCAGCCAUAACGUCUGGUUGGGUUUUGGGGUGUUACACAUAUGGCCGCGAGUCACACACGGUUGAGAUACACGCCCAUGUGCCUACCCAUGUGGACAAAAUAAGGCCAUUUCCAAGCCUUAUUUCUCACCUAAAUUUUGCCUUGUACGUACAUUAAUACUUGCAUACAUAUACCAACCAAUUCAAGAUGUUAAAACCAAGCCAACAUUAACAUUAUAUUUGAUAAAUCAUCACAUGUAUUCAAACUUAAAUUUUGAAAGACAUAUAUGUUUACCAUAAUUCAAUCAAAUCAUACCAAGCACACAUAUUUUAACCAUAUUAUAACCUCAAGUAUAUAUUCACUAAAUAUAUCAUUAUUAGCCAUUCCAAUGGCUAGAUUACAAACAACCAUUUACAUGAAAACAUUUAUCAAGUUAGCCUAUACAUGCCAUUGUACCAAAAUAAGUUUGCUAUUUAUACCAAACGUGCUGAAGGAUAGUGUGAUGAUGUUUCGAUCGAUUCCAACCUUUACGAGCUUUCGAGUACUAUAAAAUAGAGAAAAGAAAAAAAUGUAAGCAUUUAAUGCUUAGUAAGUUCGCAUAACAAGAAUUUAACUCACCAUACAUUUACAUUUAAGGUAAGCAUAUAAGAUGCUUCCAAGCAAUUUGGCUAAUUGUAAUAGCCCGAUUUUGGGCCUCGAAACAGUGGUUCCGAAACCACUAUUUCAGGGUCGAAGAAAUUAUUUUAAAUAUUAUUUUAUGUGUUAUAGCAUGAUUAUAUGAGUGCAUAAACAUUUUGGUGAAUUAAUUUUAGCGAUUGUGAGCUUAAUUUUGAAAAAUGACUAAAUCGCAUAAAGGGAAAAAUUUGUGAUUUUCUAGCUAAAUAUGUUAAAUUGCUAGAGAACCAUAAUUGGGGGUUUUUAAAGUGCAAAUAGACCCCUUUCACAAGCUUGGCCGACCAUAGAGACAAAUAGGAGUUGAGAAGUCAAAGUUAGGUGCCUUUUUUUGGUAAGAAAUAAAACAAAAAGAAAAAGUUGUCAUCCUUUCAUCUUUUUUUUCUUCUUCCACCAAAAAUGGCAGCAAGGAGGGGCUUGAAAAACUCAAAAUAUCAGCCACUUAUAUUCUUUUCAAGUAAGUGAUUUAGAUGCCUAUUUUUGAUAAUUUUUGUACUUUUGGAACCCUUGUAGCAUGAACUAGCUAAUGGGGGGACUAUUUUGUAAAAUGGUUGAUAGUCUAGGGAUUUACCAUGAAAGGAUUUAUGUUGUUUUCUGAAUUUUUAUGGAAGAAAAUGAGUCUUGGGUGUCUUAUAAACAACUUUUGUGAAAGGUGUUAGCAUGAAAACACCUAAAAAGACUAUAUUGCAUAAGUUGUAAAAUAGAUGUUAUGUAUGUGAAAUAGUGGGAAAUUGGAGUUGCUAUAAGAGUAAAAAGGGUUCGGAUAAGCUUAAGAUGUGAAGAAAUUCGAUAAAAAUCAAUUUUCGGACCUAGGGGUAAAAUGGUCAUUUUACAAAAGUCUAGGGGCAAAAUGGUCAUUUUGCCCAAAUAUAGGUUAUUGAAUACCUAGAUUGAUAAAGUGAUUAAAUUUGUGAACUUGUGUUAUUUUAGAUCAAGAAAAUCGAGAUUUGGGCUUAAAUCAAGAAAGUGUGUGGUUAAAGACAAAAAGAAAAUAAUUAGCCGAAAUUACAUUUGAGGUAAGCCCGUGUGAUUAAAUGACCGUGAUAUUUAUGCCAUUGUUAUUAUACUUGAAAAUCUAUCUUGUCAUGAUUGUAUUAAAGUGUAGGUUGAUGAUAUUGUAUAUGAAAAAGUGAUGUCAAAUGUAAAUAACAUUUAUGUGUUGAUUGAAUGCUUGGAGAUUUGAUGGAAUAUGAUAUUCCAUUGAAAUGAGUAAGUUGUAUGUAAAUAAGACAACUACAUUGUUAUUAUAUGUGUUUAAAUUGAUAUAGCAUGAAUUGCUUGGUUGUGGAAAUGAUUAUGUUUGAUGAAUAUUGAGAUAGUAGAAUUCCCGUUUGAACCUUAAGACACAAUUCGGAUAUUCAUGCCAUGACAUUCGGGUUAUUUGUGAGCCAAUGUAAGACCAUGUCUGGGACAUGGAAUCGGCAUUGAGAUGAGAGCUAGUGUAAUACAUGUCUGGGACAUGCAUCGGCCUCGAGUUGUAAGCCAGUGUAAGACAUGUCUGGGACAUGUAUUGGCUACGAGAUGUGUCAGUGUAAGACCAUGUCUGGGACAUGGCAUCGGCACAGAUGUGUGAGAGCUAGGGUAAGACCAUGUUUGGGACAUGGCGUCAGCCUCGAUUUCGAUAGUCAGUGUAAUACCAUGUCUGGGACAUGACAUCGACUUAAUGGAUGAGCUAGUGUAAGACCAUGUUUGGUACAUGACAUCGGCAUUAUACCCUAUGUUUGAGGCUUAGUGAAUAUCCGAUAGCUUUCCGAAUGGUUCAACGGUGAGAGUUAUGGUUUAAGCUAAAUGAGAAAGGUUAUGACCAUAUUGUGAGUGGUACAGGUACUUACAUGAAAUUGAUGGGAUGUGAAUUCAAUUCAUGUUAUAUGAUUAGUAAGAAAUGAAAAUGAGCAUGUUGAGUAAUACAGGUAUGUAUGCCAAGCUCAUGAGAAAUGAUUUCAGUUUACAAUACACCUUUAGUGAAGAUGUAAAUAGGUAAUUCAUGCUUAUGAGAAUGAUUUUGUGAUGACCUUGUGAUUAUAGGUCUAUACUUAUGAUGUAUGAAUAUGUAACCUUACCAAUGUGGUGAAAGUGAAUUAAUAUGGUGUGAUAAACUAGUAUCGUUAAUUUACACAAAAACAGUUUUGGACAGUAGCCAUAGUCCAAAUUUGAAAAUCCACAAAAAAUUGUGGAAAUUGAUUUAGAGGCUGAAUAAAAUAUGAAAUUAAAUCCUAUUGAGUCUAAUUUCACAUAGAAGAAAUGGUGUAAGUAAAAGAGUUUCAUAUUAUGAAAUAUUUAAAUUGUUGUGAGACAGAGUCAGAAUGACUUCGAAAAUCCCCUAUUCUGAUUUGAAAAAAUCAUUGAAAAUUGUAAAAAAAUAUUUAUGACUUAUAAUUUAUAUUAUUAUAAUUCUUAAUGAGUAAUUUUCAAGAUAAAUAGACGAUAACAUCAUCUUAGUCCCGUAUUAUGAGAUAAUUAAUUUUUAGUAAAGAGGGGUUAGAACUGUCAGACAACGAAAAAGGGUAACUUUGAGGAAUAAAAUAUACUAAUUGGCUAAACCAAAAAUUCUAAAAAUUUUAUGGUAAGAAGAUAUGUGAGUCUAGUUUCAGGAAAAAUUAGCAUAACUUAAUUUGGAGUUCUGUAGCUCCAGAUAUAAAUAAUUUAGUGAAUCUGACUUGAGAAAAUAGUUUGACUGGAACAUGAGUAAAAAAUGCGAAUAGGGUUGUAUUACCAUCAAAAGAAAAUUGAUAAAUUGCUUAUUAUUUUCAUACGGUCUUGCUAAGCUAUAAAGCUUACUCCCUUCCUUUCCUUUCCUUUAGUGUUUUCAGGUUAGCUCGGAGUUGGAGAUCGUCGGAGGCAGCAUCACACUAUAAAGUCGCUACCUUUGGAAUAAUGAAGUAUAUAUUAGAAAUUUCAAGUGAGUGGCUUGUAUAGAGAUGUAGUUGAUUGACAUGUAUUAUUUUUCUUUGGCCAAAUGUAUUGGUUUAAAUUGAGUUUUAUGUAUAUGGCCAUGAGAUGUGGGUCAUAUUGAUUAUGGCUUGUAAGCCUAGCUAUUUAUGUCAUGUCUAGUUUUUAUAAUGUGAUUAUGUUUGUUUGCCAUGCAUGGUUAGUAAUAUGACAUGUGUGUUGGAUGUAUGCUCUAUGACCAAUUGAGGUGUUCAUAGCCAUGUAGUAAUUGCAUGUUAUAUACACAACGUGAUAAUGAUUGAACAUUAGUGCUUGAUGGAUAAGUUGGUAACCGUAGUAUAAUGGUAAAAGUGAUCAUCAAAAUGACAAGUCUUAUGAAAGUGAAAUAAGGAAUCUAGACUUGGCAUUGCAUGAGUAUAUGCAUUACUUGUAAGAGGACAUGUUAAUGUUAAGGAUAUAUCUUAAUAAAGAAUGUUUAAUCAUUAAAAUGAUGCCAUGAUUUGCGAUUUUGAUGUACAUAAGGUUGUAAGAGAUUAUGGGUAACAUGAAAGCUUGGAAAAUAGCCGAAGUGUUGGCCAUAUGGGCUGAGACACGGCCGUGUGUCUCAACCGUGUUAGAGACACAGCCUGGAGACACGGGCGUGUGGCCCGGCCGUGUGGUUCGAUGUACAUGCUGAUGUCAUAAACAGAGAGUUACAUGGUCUGAGGACACGGGCGUGCCAAAGGUACACAGGCAUGUCCCUAUGUCCACACGGGCGUGUGACCUUGUUUUGUGGGAAAAUUUCCUAAGUUUUUUUGAAACUUUUAAAAGUUCUCGGUUUAGUCCCGAAUCAAUUCCGAUGAAUGUUUUGGGCUUCGUAGACCCAAAUAAGGGAUGACAUGCAUGUGUUUGAAAGGUUUUGAAUUAAAAGAGAUUUUAUGGCCCGAUUUUUGCAUGAAUGUAUAUGUUUAAGUCCAGUAAUGUCUCGUACCCUGUUCUGGCGUUGGACAUGGGUAAGGUGUGUUACACUAAUAGCCUAAAACACACAACUUCAUCAAACAUGUUAGUCAUUAUUCCACAUAAAUUUCAAGAAUCAAAGAUGAGCUCAUCAUAGUAUAACUUUCAUAUACAUAUGCUUUUCAUAUCAUAUUUCCAUUUAACAUGUACAUUUCCAUACACAUAUAUCUUUCAUCCCAUAUUUCAAUUUGUCAAAUAUCAUCACUUUCAUGUAUUUCAGGUAUAAACGGGUAAUAAUUCAUUUUGAACUCAUAUUUUCUCAUGUUAGGAUUUUUCCCAUUGAAUUAUUGAAAAUAUCGAUAGAUACAUAGGUAGUACAAACAAGGUGUACAAAACUGUAAUCUAUCAAAUCAUAUUCUGGGGUACCCAUUAGGGCACAUAAUUAGGAAACACUCUCUCGAGCCAUAUAAUAGGAUGCUCAUGUGAGCCAUGUAACAUGAAGCUUAUCCGGGCUAAAUCAAGAAACUCAUAAGAGUUUAGAAUAGGAAGCUCAUUGAGCUUAACAGGUAACUCUGAAAAGCUAUUAUUAGGGAACUCUGGAUAGCCAUAUAAUAGGAUGUUCAAGCGAGCCAUAUUAGAAAGCUCAAGAAGAGCCUAGAUUAGAACGCUCAUAAAGAGCUGUGUUUGUGUCCACAAUAUAUGCAGGAUCACAACCGAUCAUAUAAUAAGAUGCUCACAAAGAUUUGUGGUAUGUCCGCAACAUAUGCAGGAUCAAUACCGAUCAGGAUGCUCACAGGAACCAUGUAACGGGAAACUCGAGAGGGCUUAUAACAGGAUGCUCUUUCAAGUUAAGGUGUAUCUACAACAUAUGCAAGACCACAACCAAUCAGGAAGACUUGUAUCCAUCAAAUUCCAUCUAUUCAAGAGGGACUUAUUAUUUAUCGGGCAUAAUCGGACAUGUGAUCAAUUUCAUAUAUAAUGCAUUCAUACAAUUCACAUAUACCACACUCAAAUCAAACAUAUAUAAUACACACAAUUUAGUUACACGAACUUACCUAGAUAAACGUUCGUAUACAAAGAUCUACUAAUCUGAUACUUUUUGUUUUCCUCGAUCCAGCUCUGUACUAGGUCUAUCCGGAUCUAUAUAAAUGAAUUUAACAUCAAUUUAAUCCAUUUCAUACUCAAUUUAAUUCAAAUCAAACCCUAGGCAAAAUUACCAUUUGUGCAAUUUAAUCCAUAUUCCAAGUCUAAUCGAUUUUUACAUAUAACAUUUACAGCACAUAUAUUUCAUAAAAAUCAGAAAUUUUCCAUGGAUUUUUUAUCUUUACAAUUUAGUUCCUAAAGCAUAAGUUCAUGAAAAUUCACUUUACAAAAGUUGUUUAUCUAUCAACAACCUUUCAUUUUCUAUUAUAAAUUUCAAAAUUUCAGCAUAUUCAUCCACGGAAAAAUUUCAAUACUUUAAUAUCUUUUCAAAUUGAUUCCCAAAAUAGAUAGAUUAGGUUAUUCCGAUCUCAAAAAUAUAAAAAUUACUAAAAACGGGACAUGAUUACUUGCCUAAUUAAGCUUGCUUGAUUUUCUUUCUCUUUCUUAGGGUUUUCAUAAAAUUUGGGGAAGAAGAUGAUAUAAAAUGAUGAUAUUUGAUAUUUAUUUUAUGUAUCAUCUUUUAUUUAUUUCAAUUUCUAAUUUAGUCCUUUUUUUUCUAAUUUUCCAUGGAUGAAUCAUCAAAAAUAUCUAUUAAAUUUUUAAUGGUCUAAUUACUAUAUAAGGACCUCAAGUUUUGAAUUCCAUAACUAUUUGAUACUUAUAGCUACUAUAACUCAACUUUUGUAUUUUAUGCAAUUUGGUCCUUUCUAUUAUUAAACAUGAAAUCGAUAAAAUUUUCUUAUCAAAUUUUUCAUAAGUCUUUCCUAUCAUGAUGCAGACCAUGCAAUAAUUUUAAAAUAAAUUUUCUUUCUGACUCGGAUUUGUGGUCCCGAAACUAUUGUUCCGAUUUCAUUGAAAACGGACUGUUACAUAGGGACUGCAAACCCUAGUGUAUUUAAAUAGGGUUGUCGCCCUGUCCCCCCAAUCCUAGUUAGACUAGGAUUAUGUUUUUCUAUUGAAAUAGACUUCUAAUAAUUCAACAAGGGUUUCAUUUCUUCUCCCUAUAAAUAGAUGGAAACGGUAAGGCUAAAUACAGAACUUUGAGAUAUUGUUAUUCUGCCCGAAAAUAGUGAGAAUUUAUUUUCUAAGUAUAAAUUCUAUAUUCUAGAAUGCAAUUCUACUAGUUUUUAUUAAAGAGAGAUUUUCUUUUCCACUAAAAGUAAAGUAAAUGAUUUCUGGUUCUGUGCUUGAUUUGAAUUUGUUCAAGCCUACAAUCAAAGUAGCUUGUGGUACAGGAAUAACAAAGAAGGUCAUUCAGUUGAAAGCCAAGAACGAUAAGGAUCCGUUUGGUCGAAAACACAGGUGUGAUUUUUGUAAAGCUUUUAUUGAUAUAAAUAUAAAAAAUCGACUUGAUUUUCAAAAAUUAAAUUUUUCGCUGUGCAAGAAAACUAUUUUCAAAUAAAUUUUUUUUCAAAUAUUCAUAUUAACCAAGAAAGAAUAACUAUACUUGUUAAAGAUGAUACCUUAAGUUUGCUUAAGGAAAUUGAUAUUCCACAAUGUGAAUCUUGCUUCGAAGGUAAGAUGACUAAGUGAUCUUUUAAUGCAAAAGGAAUGAGGGUUGUCAAUGUAACAACCCAUUUUUCAGUGAAAUCGGAACAGUGGUUUUGAGACCACAAAUCUGAUCCGAAAAUAAAUUUUAUUUUUAUUUUAUUACGAGGUCUGUAAUAUGUUAGAAAGGUCAUGUUAAAAUUUUGAUAAGAAAAUUUUAUUGAUUAUGUGCUUAAUUACGAGAAGGACUAUAUCGUAUAAAAUGCAAAAGUUGAAUUCUAGUAGCUACAAGGAUUAAAUAGCUAUGGAAUUCAAAACUUAAGAUCCUCAUAUGGUAAUUCGACCAUUAAAGAAAAGUAUGUAGAUAUUUUGGUGACUCAUCCAUGGAAAUUUAGAAAAAGGGCAAGGACUAAAUUAGAAUUUGAAAUAAUUUAAUUAAUUAAAAAGAUGAUAAAAGAUAUCAUCUUAAUUUUUAUGUCAUAUUCAACCUAAGAAACCCUAAGAGAGAGAGAGAAGAAACUUUCAUGGCUUAAUUGGGUAAGUUUCCUUGUCCCAUUUUUAGUAAUUUUGAUAUUUUUGAAACUGGGAUAGCUUAAUCUAUCUAUUUGAGGGAUCAAUUUGAAACUUUCAUGGCUUAAUUGGGUAAGUUUCCUCGUCCCGUUUUUAGUAAUUUUGAUAUUUUUGAAACUGAGAUAGCUUAAUCUAUCUAUUUGAGGGAUCAAUUUGAAGAGUUAACAAAGAAUGAAAAUUGGGCCAUCGAUAAAUAUGCUGAAAAUUCAAAAUUUAUGGUAGAAAAUGAAAGGUUGUUGAUGAAAACAUGAUUUAUGCACUAAAGUGUAAAAUUGAUGAAAAUUCUGAAAUUUAUAGAAAAUAUGUUCUUUAAAUUCUAUAUUAAAAUUUUGGUUAGGCUUGGAAUAGGGAGUAAAUUGCAUAAAGUUUAUUUUCCGAGCCUAGGGAUUUAAUUUGAAUUUAUGGAAAAGUUAGGGGCAAAAUGGUAAUUUUUCCUAGGAUAUAAAUUGAGUCCAAAUGAAUAUGAAAUGUGGGAAAUUCAUGAUUAAAGUUAUUUAUAUAGAUCUGGACAACUGAAAUUCGAGGUUAAAUCGAGGAAAAGAAAAAUGUUUCGAAAUAGUAGAUUUUAUACGUGAAGAAGUGUCGAGGUAAGUUUGUGUAACUUAAUCGAGCAUGUAAAUAUGUUAACUUGAAUGUUAUGAGUGUAUGCAGUAUGAUUUAUAAUUAUGUGAAUGUUAUAAAUGUGUGAAUGAAUAUAUGUUCGAAAAUGUUAGAAAAAGGGGUAAAGUCUCGUUUGAAUAUUGAAUUUCGGUGGAUAAAUGUGAUUGCCUUAUAAAAUGAUGUGUUGCAUUUGUUGCUUAUGAGAUUUAGCUCGGACGAGUAAUCUUAUUAAUCUCAUUAUAGAAAGGAUUUAGCUCGGACGGGUAAUCCUGAUAUAAUUCCUCUCGAGCAUAUUUAGGAUUUAGCCUAGACUAGCAAUCUUGUAAUACGAUAUGUGGCUUGAGAGUGUGUUCUUGAUUAAAUUCCCUAAUGGGUACUCUUGAAUAAGAAUUGACAGGUUAUUAAAUUGUACACCUUGAGUGUACUACUCGAGUAUCCAUCAAAAAGUUAAUGAUUCAACGGGCAAAACUCUUGGCAUGAUGAGAGAAUUAUGAGAUGAAAUGAUAAUGUCUUGAAAGAAUAUUGCAUGAUGAGCUCAUCUAUGUUUACUUGAUGUAUAUGAAAAUUUUGUGACUAACAUGUUUGGUUGAAUGCAUGUGUUUAGGCAAUUUUUCCAAGUUGAUGGAAAACAUGAUUUUGUAUGCUUAGAUUUAAUAAACGGGAUUGGUAAGUUUAGUUUCUGUUAUACGAACUUACUAAGCAUAUAAUGCUUACUCCGUUUUAUUUUCCCUUGUUUUAUAGUGCUCGGAAGCUCGCGAAGGUUGGAGGUCAUUGGAGCAUCAUCACACUAACCACUAGCUUAUUUUGGAUAUAUAUAGAAAAAAAAUCAUUUUGGUAUAAUGGCAUGUAUAGGCUAACUUGGCCAUAGAUGGCUUGAAUAUGUGGUUUGUAAUCUAGCCAUUGGAAUGACUAGUAAUGGUUGUUUUGAUAUACUUGUAAUGUCAUACUAUGGUAGCUAGAUACAUGUUAAAUGGUUGUUCAAGUUUUGCCUAUCAUAUGAAAUAUACCAAGGUAAGAUUAUAAACAUGUAUGCAUGUAAUGAUAUACCAUGUUGAAUGAUAGAGUUUGCUUAAUUUGAAUGCUUGAAUUGGUUAGCAAUUGGAUGUGAGUUUAAGUAUAGGUCAUUGGUGUGAUUUUGGGUGAGAAAUGAAGAUAGAAAUGGCUUUAUUUUGUCCACACUGGUAGACACACGGGCGUGUGUCUAUACCGUGUGUGACAGACGGCCUGGUAUAUAGGCGUUUGAUUAGGCCGUGUGUCCCCUGCACCUUUAACUCGAAAAAAAAUGCUCAAAAUUGAGCACACGGGCAGAGACACGGGCAUGUGUCUCAGUCGUGUGUGCUACACGGCCUAGAACACGAGCAUGUGUCUUGACCGUGUGAAACCUGCACCUAAUUUCGAAAGAAUUUAAUUAACCACAUGGCCUAGCACACGGGUGCGUGGCAUGGUCGUGUACACAAGUCAGAGAGUUACACGGGGUCGAACAUGACCUGUAGUACGGGCGUGUCCCUUGGACCACACGGGCGUGUGAGCCCUGCACUUUGGAAAAUUUUUUAGAUAUCGCUAAAAUUUCUUAGGGUUUCCGAUUAAGUCCCGAUUCAAUUUUAAUGCUCAUAUUGGGCCACGAGGGUCUAUUUCAGGGACGAUAUGAAUAAUCUCGGUUAGUGAAUAGUAAAUUACGUGAAUUAUCUAAAAAAAUAUUCUAAAAAUUUUGAUAAUGCUCCGUAACUUUGUUCCGGCGACGGAUACGGGUUAGGGGUGUUACAGUCAAACUCUUAGAGCUUAUGCACACUCAUAUAUGUGGCCCCAAGAACGUCAAUGUGCAAGGUGAUUACAAUUAUUACAUAACCUUUAUAAAUGACUAUUCCAGAUAUGAAUAUGUAUACCUAAAGCACCGUAAAAGUGAAACUUUUGAUAAAUCAAAAGAGUUUCGUGCAGAAGUGGAGAAACUAGUAGGUUUACCCAUAAAGAUACUUCAGUUUAAUCAAGGUGAGGAAUACUUAUCGGAUAAGUUCUUAGGUUACCUCGUAGAGAAUGGAAUAUUAUCCCAAUUAACCGCGCUAGGAAUUACACAACAAAAUGACAUGGCAGAGAAAAGGAAUCGAACCUUGUUGGACAUAGUUUAAUUGAUGUUAAGUUAUUCAUAGCUUCAAGUCUCUUUUUGGAGAUAUUUUUUACAAAUGACUUGUUACAUUUUGAAUGAUGUACCAAAUAAGUUCAUACCUAAAACUCCAUACUAAUUAUGGAAUGGCAUGAAGCCAAGUCUAAAUCAUUUAAGGAUUUGCCGAUGGCCAGCCCACGUGUUGGAUAAAGAUAUGAGGAAAUUGGAUUCACAGAUAGAGUUGUGUAUGUUUGUGAGUUAUCCAAAAGGAAUAAAGGGUGGUUUGUUUUAUAACUCAAAAUAGCAAAUACUGAUAGUGUCCACUCAUGCUACCUUCAUUGAAGAGAGUUACAUGAACGACUUUAAAUCUUAAAGUAAAGAAGUACUUGAGAAAAUUUUGGGAAGUACAUAAAUCCUUGGUCUCGGAUCAAACUCUUAAUAAUAGAUUUACAAACAAUCAUCAACAUAAGGAGCUUCGUUGUAGUGAGAGGGUUUCUCGUACGCCCGAGUUCUUCUAGUCUGGCAGAAGUGUUUUAAACAUUGAGUUUUCUGAACAGGAAGAUGAUGACCAACCUACAUUUAAAAAACGAUGCAGAGUGUUGAUUCCAAGCUUUGGGAAAUAGCUAUAAAAGCUAAGAUGAAUUCUAUGAAAUCCAGCUAAGUGAUAUACAAGAAGAAAAGAAAUGCGAAUGGAAAAGUGGAAACUUAUAAGGCUAGACUUGUAUCAAUUACGAAGAAGCCUUCUUUUUGGUUGCCAUACUCAACUCAAUCUGCAUAUUGUUAUCCAUUGUGGUGACUCUUAAUUAUGGAUCUGUCAAAUGGAUACCAAGACAAUGUUCUUGAAUGACUAUCUUGAAGAGAGCACCUAUAUGAUGCAACCCACCCUAUAUAUAACUAAAGGAAAUUAGCAUAAAAUUUACAAAUUGCUUAGAUUUCAUAUAUGGACUUAAGUGAGCAUCCCACUCAUGGAAUCAAAUAUUUGAUCAAAACUUUUGAAUUUGAGCAAAAUAUUGAUAAACCUUCUAUUUAUAAACGUAUUAAGGAUGGAAAUGUGGUCUUUCUUAUUGUAUAUGUCGAUGACAUUCUACUCAUUGGAAAUGAUUUAAGUACAUUGUCAUCGGUUAAAUUGUGAUUAACCCAACAGUUUAGCAUGAAAGACUUAAGAAAAGCUAUCUUUGUUCUAAGCAUUUGAAUCGUAAGGGAUAGAAAGAAUAAAGUGAUAGCAUUAUCACUAAGAAUAUACAUAGACAAGAUAUUGAAAAUUUAUGCAAUAACCGAUUCAAAAUUUAGUCAUUAUACUAUAGUGGAAUAACUUCACGACUAAAGAAGUUUAUAAUUAAUAGGCGAAAAGUUGGACAUUGAUUAUAAAUUAUUUGAGCCCUUAUUAUGUAUGUACAAUUGGUCCCCCCACUAGCUCGUUGAAACAAAAAAUGAAUUGCAUGUGGAAGAAAAUGAAUACAAAUGAAUAUAAAUGAUAAAGUCGGAGAAAUAGGUCACAUUAACAAAUUAAUUUGUUUUCUCACCAGGUAUAGAAAUGACUUGAGAAAAUAAUUUAAGGUUUUUGAAUGAUUAUUUAAUUAAUUAUAAUUAAAUAAUUAAAGUUAAAAAAAUGAAAUUAAAUUAAUUUUCCAUUAUGAAUCCUUUGAAUAAUGAAAUUAAAUAUAUUUCCUCAUAAAAUAUUUUACAAUAAAGUUGUUAUAAUUUUAAUGGAAUUAGAAUUGAGUUGACAUAAUUAUUUAAUUGGGUAAUUAAUUUAGUUAAUUAAAUUAAUUAAUUAAUUAAUAUUUAUUUUUGAAAAUAGAAAAUAAACAUUAGGUUUGAUUAAUUUAUAAAAUGCUAGGUUAAAAGUUUAGGAAACUCAUAUAAUUGAACCCAAUACAUGAUAGGCCAAAUUUGUCCCGUAUAACAUGUGAGCAGCAGCAACCCAAAGGGAAUUUAAGAGAGUGGUUGCCUCCUCUCUCUUAGUUAGAUUAAGGGAGUGUUUUCUAUUAAAAUAAUUGUUGAGUAUGACUCCUAUUUCAGUCAAAUUUGAGAAAUAAUAUUCCAGUUAAAUUCUGUUUAUUUGUUUCAAUCAAACACUGAUUAGUCUAGAUUAUUUUAUUAUUAUUUGACCUAUGAAUUUAGCCUAUAAAUAGACUCUUUUACAACUUUAGAAAAUACAUCCAUUAGAGAUUAGAACUCAUAACACUUUUGGAGAAUAUUUGUGUUUAUGUUUUGAAGGUUCUUUGUUUUUUGGGGUUUCGGGGUUUAGUUUUUAUCUCCAUCUUUGUACUCUUCGUUCUUUUGCCAUUAUAGUAAAAUUAUCUUUACCCGUGGUUUUUUAUCCUCUUUGGAAGGGUUUUUCCACGUUAAAUUUGUGUGUUCAAUUUUUCAAUUUCUUCCGCUAUUUUUACUUGUUUGUUGCUUAAUUAGGUCGAUCGCCAAUAGUAACAUUAUUUGUUUAAGCCUUAUUCAACCAAGAUUCUUCUAUUUCUCCCUAUAAAUAGAUAGCACCGAUUAACUUAAAAAACACAUUUAUUGGUUAUUGAUUUAUCAUUAUUCUACCAAAAAAAUAGUGAUAAUUUAUUCACUUAAAAUAAAUUAUAUUUUCUGGGAAUUACGAUUUUUAUUAGUUUCUUGAGAGAAUUAUUUUGCUACUGAAAGUAAUAAUAAUUUCUUGUUCUUUGUUUGGUUCAUGUUUCUCGAGCCCACACUCAACCUAAAUCCAUCUUGCACAAUGUACAGGUACUUUUCGGUAAAACGGUUAUUGCUAUAAAUAUCACAAAUCGGUUCAUUUUUUAAAAUUUUUAAACUUCUGCUAUAACUAUAAAUCGUUAUGAUGGAUUUUGACAAACCACAUUUUUAAGUGGGACUGUGUGCAUUAAAUCAAAUAAAAUUAUGAAAAAUUUUGAAAAACCACAUUUUUAAGUGGAAUUGGAAAAAGGAAAUUGAGCUACUAAGAUCCCCUUUUGAAAUUACUUAUAGAUUAUGAAAUUCUUUAAUAUAUUUACCCAAAUAAAUAAGUUCAUUUUUAGAAAUUUAAAAAUCUUAAUAAAAAUAAAAUCCCUCCUAUAAAUCCCUCACCCAAAACACACUUUUAAAUACCUAUGCAAGUUGAGAAGCAAAUGAUGACAAAGACUAUUCACUAACAAAUGAUCCAUUAGAAUGACUGACCGGCAUUACGCCUGUGCGUAUAAAACAAAAAAUUUAUAAAAUAAUUUUUAUAGCACGGUUUUACUACAAGCAUGUAGGUCAGUUGUAAUAUUUGUAGUGUUACAAUGGAACACCAACGUAUUCCAAGGAUCGAACCCAAAGGAGUUGGUGACUUAGUGAUCUGCCACAAAUUAUUGACCGCCGCCGGACGUACUAACGUCUAGAGUGUGAAUAUUAUAGCAAAAGAUAUAUAUAUAAAUGAUAAGGUAUCUACAAGUAUACGGGUCGGGUUGUAAUAUAGCUACAACGAAAUAGGUAAGUAUUUUGAGGAUCGUACCCAAAGGAGGCUAGUACUAGCUCAAUUUCAACCUAAACACCAAAAGAUCUAAUUAGUACUUGAAAUAGGUUAUAUUAUGAAAAUAUAAGUAAUAGAGAUUUUUGGGGGUUUUUUAUAAUAAUGAAAAUAUGACAAGUAAUUAAGUAUCGAGAAAUUGAAAAGUGAAAUUAAUCAAAUCUGAUUAUGGGUGAUUAGCUCGCUUCGGUAAUCUUCAUCAACUGCUGCUUCAAGUUCCUCGUCAAUCAACUAGUUGAUAUCCUAGCAGGAUCUUUUGAUACAUCCGCUAGAAUAACAAGUUAGCAAGGACUACUUAUCUUCCGACCUCACAGUUCAUAUCGGUUUGGGGUGAAGGUGUUCACGGAUAGGCCAUACCAAUUUUAGGUUAAUUUCCACCUUGAUAACUUCCUAAGGUUAUCAAGCCUAGGUUUUUGGUUCUUCCUUUCCCAAAUAGCUGAUCCGUUGAGUAACCCUACAAAACAGUUAAUAGAUUAUAUCUCCACUCGUUAAUCCCCUAUAAAAAGAUUAGUUCCUCAUGGUUGUCGUAAACAAUAUAAAGUUAAUAUAAAGCAUAAACAUGAUAAUUGAAUCGAAAGUAUAAAGUUUAAGAAAAAGCCUGAUUUGUAUUACAAAGAAGAAUAAAUCUAAAAAGUUUAAUCUUAUCCACAAGCCAUAUUUCCCAAGGUAAAAAAAGAACAAGCUAAAAUAAAUCUAAAACCUAAAGAAAAGAGAAAUACUAAACUAAAAAUAAAAAAGUGAGAUUCUAAGCUAAGUAAUCAGUGUCUAUAACAUGUGCCAAAUGAGCCUAAUUAGAGAUUUGAGGUGAUCGUCGUCCUUAACCCUACGUUAAUUGACAUUCCUGAACUUUAAGUUGGAUUGUGCAGACCAAAAUGCCCCUUAGCUCGUAUUAAUUCUCGUCUAGAGUCGAUGUUGUGACACAUCAGGACUUGUAUCGAGACAUAAAAUUCAGUAUACUUUUCUUUAAGGUAUCUUCAGGGGUAUGUCACGACACCCUUAGGCUAUGUCGUGACAUCAAAGGCAGUCUCAGAAUUCUUCUACUCUGUUUUCUAUGCUGCGACAUCGAAUCCUUCGUGUUGCGACAUAGUGACCAAUAUCGGUUUAGCACGCCUUCUAAUCGUCUCCUGUAUACUCAUAAAGUUAACCUUUAGACCUCAUUCGGCCCCUAAGUUCAUUAAAAGACUCAAUUUUCACAUUUUAUUGAAUUUAAUUAAACUUACUAAAACAUAAUUAAAAUCUAAUGAUAAUACUUAUUUUCAAGCUCUUAAAGUGAAAAAAUUAGUUUAAUUGCUACACCUAAUUAUGACAGAUCAAUUAUAUUAUUACUUACAUCACUUUUUACACAUAAUUUUAGCUUUUUUAAUAGUAAAUCAAAUUAUCUUAGUAUAUAUUUGUGUUUUCAUACUUGAAGUAAUGAUGUAUGCUUUUUAGUAGUUUUUAUUACAUUUUAGAUAUAUAAAUAUGGUUACAUGUUUGUAACACCCCUUACCCGUAUCCGAUGCCGGGAUAGGGUUCGAGGCGUCUGGGCCACAAAAUUUUUUCCCAAAAUUAAAACAUCUCAAACACAUGCAUUUCGUCCCUUAUACAGGCUUUUGAAGCCUAUAACAUACAUCGGGGAGGUCCGGGACUAAACUGAGAACUUUGAAAUCUUUGGGCAACUUAACCAAUUUUCUUGCUUUGGAGAGUCACAUCCCCGUGUGGGUUGGGCCAUGUGGUCACACACGCCCAUGUGGCUUCGGACACGCUCGUGUCCUCAGCCCGUGUAACUCUCUGUUUAUGACAUCAACCAAACAAAUUGAUCCACAUGGUCAAGCCACACACCCGUGUGCUUGACUGUGUCCUCCACACAGCUGAGACACACGGUUGUGUCUCUGCCCGUGUGGUCAACACUUAGGCUAUUUUCUAAUCCUUAUGUUGUCCUUAAUUCUUUCUCAUCCUUUACACAGCAUGGACCUAAGUUAUUGCAACCAAUUAUAAUCACACGUCAUACAUUAACCCAUAGCAGGAAUAAUUAGGCCUACAAGCCAUAACCAUAAUAACCCACAUCUCAUGGCUAUAUACAAUCGAUCAAUAUAAACCGAUACAUUUGGCUAAUCAUAACAACGACUAAUAUAAAAACUAGUCCUUAUACAUGCCACUCACUUGAAAGUGUUUAAUACACGUAUGACAAUACUCCAGAGUCGAUAGCUUGCUAGUGUGAUGCUACCUCCGACAAUCUCCAACCCCGAGCUGACCUGACAAAACUAAAAGAAAUGGGAAAGGAGGGAGUAAGCUUUACGCUUAGUAAGCUCGCAUGAAAAUAAUAAGCAAUGUGAUAACAUGCUAUUUUUAUAUUCUUUCUAUUUAUUCAAAUUCCAGCUAAGCUGUUUUCUUGAGUCAUAGUCAUUAAAUUAUUUAUAUCCAGAGUUACAAGACUCCAAAUCAAGAUACAUUAAUUUUCUCAGAAACUAGACUCAUACUCUUCUUACCAUAAAAUUUUCAGAAUUUUUGGUCAAUCCAAUAAAUUCAUUUUAUUAAUCAAAUUCUCCCCUGUUUCACUGUUUGAUAGCUUCUACCUUUCUUUACUAAAAUUUAUUUAUCUCAUAGUACGAGACUCAGAUAAUGUUCUUGUAUCUUUUUCAUGAAAGCAUACUCACUAAGGAUUUUAUUCAUAUGACUCAUAACUCACAAUUAUUUUUGUAAAAUUUCUAGUGAUUUUCCAAAGUCAGAACAGGGGAUUCCGAACUCAUUCUGACUCUGUCUCACAAAAAUUCAUAUAUCUCGUAAUAAAAAAUUCUUUUUCUUACACCGUUUCCUUUAUCUGAAACUAGACUCAUUAAGCUUUAAUUUCAUAUAUUAAUCAGCCUCUAAUUCAACUUCCACCAUUUAUGGUGAUAUUUCAAAUUCGGGCUACUGCUGCUGUCAAAAACUAUCUUAGUACAACAUAAUGAUAAUCAUCCCAAGUUUGUCAUAGAAAUUAUUCUUAUAAUUAUCACUCAUUCAUUUGCACUCUUAUCACAAGUCCAUUUCAUUUCACAUGUCAAACACAUGCUCAUGGGUUUCGAGUAUGUUCCUGUGCUAUCUCUUAGCACAACCACUCAUCCAAACAGGACAAUCAUAUGCAUGAUACUAGUAUCAACUAAGCAUAAAUGAGUUUAUCAUGCUGUUUUUCUUUAUAUCACUAUGUAUGUCAUUACUGCUGAAUUAUUAAAUUUUUGAUAGACCUUUCCUUUUCCAGUUGUACACUCGAGGUGUACGUUUCUUUCUGAGUGGUACAUACAAAACAUACCUUUCCUUUUCAUAUGGUAUACACAAAGUAUACCUAACCUUUCCAAGUGUACACACAAAGUGUACAUAACCUUUUCAAGUGUACACAUAUAGUGUACCUUUCCUUUUCAAGUGGUAUACACAAAGUAUACCUUUCCUUUUCAUAUGGUAUACACAAAGUAUACCCUUCCUUUUCAAGUGUACACACAAGGUGUACAUAACCUUUUCAAAGUGUACCGUUUGGGUACAUAAGUCCUUUUCAAGUAUUAACCCUUUUGUGAUACAUUUCCUUUUCAUAAUGAGAUCAAAAGAUUACCCUUUAGGGACAAUCUUUAUUGCAACAUAUGUAAGAUAUUAUAUUCACGGUAAUCACCUGUCCAAUCAGAAAUCAAUAUUCAAACUAAUUCAUGCACCAUUUCAUCAUUUAUAUAAGUCAUAAAUCAAUAUUUGUUUAUUACAUGUACUUAUCAAUUACAAAUCAUGAUGCACAUAAUUCAACAAUCAAUUAAACACAUUUACAUGCUUAAUUUAGUUAUACGAACUUACUUGUCGAAAUCUCGUCAGAUACAACCGUGUAGCAAUUCAUAUAACCCAUGUAAUAGUAAUUUAACAUUCAAUUCAUGUAACAAUAAUUUGCCAUUCAAUUUCACAUGACACAACAAACAUUACAUUUUCCAUAUCAUAAACACCAUCCAUCAACUUCUCCUAAACAUUUUAAAUCAUACAAUUUAUACCAUAUCAAUAGAGAAUUACAAUUCAAGCAUGGUAUUACACUAUUAUUAAUACACAAACUUACCUCGGAUCCAGAAACGACAAUUUACCAUUUUAGUCCAUAACCUUGUAUUUUCUCGAUUUAAGCUCGAAUCUCGAUUUUCUUGAUCUAUAAUAUCACAUUUAGCCUAAUAAUUAGUCACAUUAUUCAUAUGGGUCCAAAAAUCAUAUUUUUACAAAUUUUCAUUUUGACCUCUAAACUUUCACAUAUUUUCACUUUUGCCCCAAUACUCGUAAAAUGAUUUUUAUUCAAUUUCCUUACAUUUUAAGCCUAGCUGAAUCAUUUUCAUAACUAUUCCAGCCCCCAAUUUCCACUAAAUCUCCCUUUUAUGAUCAAUUUUACAACUUUUACAAAACAGUCUUUUCGGACGUUUUCAUCGAAAACUGCUUAGUAAAAGUCGUUUAUUUAACACCCAACACUCAUUUUCUACCAUUAAACAUCAAAAUUCAUGCACGUCACAAAUGGUUAAAUUUUUAAACAUAAACCCUAGCUCAAAAUAAUGGUAGAAAUGAGUAGAUCAUGUUACCGAUAUUUCAAAAAUGUAAAAAUCAUUAAAAACGGGGCUAGAACGAACUUACAAAAAAGCUUGGAAGCUUGAAAAACCCUAGCCAUGGUUUCUCCAUGCAAUUUUCGGCCAAGUGGUUGAAGAUGGACAAAUUUUAGCUUUUAAUUUUGUUUUUAAUUCAUUUUAAUAACUAAAUGAUCAAAAUGCCUAACCAUGUCCAUUUUUGUCCACCAACUUAAACAAUAGUCUAAUUACCAUAUAAGGACCUCCAAUUUAAAAUUUCAUAACAAGUAGACACCUCUAGCAUGUAGAACUCAACUUUUGUACUUUUUACGAUUUAGUCCUUUUGACUAAAUUGAGUGCCCAAACGUUAAAAUUUUUGAACGAAAUCUUCACGAAAUCAUUUCGUGAAAUGUAGACCAUAAAAAUAUAAUAAAAAUGAAAUUUUCCUCAUCGGAUUUGUGGUCCCGAAACCACUGUUCCGACUAGGCCCAAAAUCGGGAUGUUACAAUGGUCUUGUAGGACAAAUCGAGAGCUAAAGAUGCAUAUUCAUGAUGGAACUGUUGCCUAUGUUGCGACACCAAGACAUCGGUGUCACAACAUUGAAGACAGAAGUAAAAACAUGUCAUGGAGCGAAACUGCUUGGUAUGUCGUGACAUAGCCUUACUAUCUUGGAGCGAAGACCCAAUAAACUGUAUAUAAAUUGAAACCUUGAAAUCUUCCCUAUCCUUGGUUCUUUAAUACAUUACAAAAUAAAUGUUAGGCCAUAGGUAUUGUGUAAUACCCCAUACCUGUACCUGAGACCAGGAUAGGAUACGAGGCAUUACCGAAAUUUUCAGAAUAAUUUCAAUUAAUUUAUAUUAUUUAGUAUUCAUUUUCAUGUUUCAUAUAACAUCCUUUUCAUAUAUUCAAUUAAAAAUAUCAUAUAAAAUACGAUACAAUACUUAAAUUUUUAUAUUUACAUGCUCAUUCAGGGUAUCCGAACCUACCUGACUAAAUUGCAGAAAUACCAAGAUUUAGGGGCAUAUUGGUAAUUUACCAUUUUCCCAAAUUUCACCCAAUAUUAAAUUGAUAAUUUCAUUCAAUUUAUUAAUUUAGAUAAUAAAAUAAUUUAUUCCCUUCAAUUUAGUCAUUUUUGACAUUUUUACAAAAUUGCCCCCUAAAAUUUUACUUUUAUUCAAUUUAGUCCAUGAGCUUAAAACAUUCAAAUUAGCCAUGCUAACUGAAUAUUCAUAUAUAUUUUUUCUCCUCCUCCUCUCCAUUCCACAUCCUUAAUGUAUAUAACAUUCUUGUAAGUACGAUUUCACAAUUUACUUAUUAAUGCUCACAUCAAUCUGUUCACACGAGUCAUCGUCACUCAAUUAUUUAUAAUUCGAGCUAAAGAGCUCAAAAUUAAGAUCCGUAAAUUUUCCCUAAAACUAGACUCACAUGUAAUUCCACCAUAAAAUUUUAAGAAUUUUUGGUUUAGCCAAUUAGUACAGUUUAUUCAUUUAAUUUUCCCCUGUUUCACUAUCCAACAGUUCUGACCUCUCUUCACUACAAAUUAAUUAUAUCAUAGUACAAAACUUAGAUAAUGUUUCCACUGAUUUCUAUUGAAAAUAGACUCAUUAAGGAUUCUAAGCAUAUAAAUUUGAGACUCUAAUUAAUUUUCUCCAAUUUUUGGUGAUUUUCCUAAGUCAAAACAGGGGAACCCGAAUUCAUUCUAACCUUGUCUCACAAAAUUCAUUAUAUCUCAUAAUUUACAAAUCCAUUGCUUACACCGUUUCUUCUAUGAAAAACUAGACUCAAUAAGCUUUAAUUUUAUAUUUUAUUCAUCUUAUAAUUCGAUUUCUAAAAUUUAUGGUGAUUUUUCAAAGUUAGUCUACUUCUGCUGUCCAAUAUUGUUUUAGUUCAAGAUGUUUAUUACCAUUUUUCCUCUAAAUUUCAAAGGUCAUAUAAUUCAGUCCUUGCUCAAUUAGCCCAUCUAUUAAGCUAAUUUUUCUCAAUUCACAUUUUAUUCCAUCAUUAUAAACUAUUACACAACAUUUGAAAAUCAUCAUUUUAACACUAAACCUUAAUUCACAACUUUUUCACAAUUAGGUCCUAAAAUCAAUUUCUAUUGAAAGGACUUGAUAAAAUCAUCAAACAACAAAAUCAAAGCUUCAAAUUCAUUUUAUUUCAUCAUAAACAGCCAAAACUUAUCAUUGAUAUCUUUUAAUUUUGUUCAUAAAAUAAAAAACUAAUGAAUUAAACACUUGGACCUAAUUGUAAAAGUCACAAAAACAUAAAAAUCUCAAAGAAAAGGGUAAGAAUUGAACUCACAUAUGUCAAAGUAUGAAAAACCAGCAGCUUUCAGACCUCCCAUGGCGUUUUUGCUGAAGAAAAAUGAUGAUAUCUCUAGAUUUUUCAAAUUUGUCUUGUUUUAUAUGUUUAAUUUGCAAAAUUUCCCAUUUUGCCCUUGUUUCUCCUUGUCUUUUUUGCUGAUUUUCUUGCCCAACCGUCCAGCCCAUACAAUUUGGGUCCAAUUGCCUUUUAAAUCCCUCCUUUUUAAGGACUUAAACUAUUUAAUCACAAUUUAAUAAAUUUCGUAUUGUUUUCAAUUUAGUCCUUUUUAAUUGAUUGACUAACCAAACGUUAAAAUUUUCUAACGAAACUUUAAUACUAACUUAAUAACACUCCAUAAAUAUUUAUAAAAAUAUUUAUGGCUCGGUUUAUAAAUCCGAGGUCUCGAUACCUCGUUUUCAACCAAAUUUACCUGAUUAAUUCUUUUAAAAUCGCAAAAUUCACUAAUUAAAAAUAAUUCUUUUAAGUUCGCGCUUGGGCUAUAAUUAUUAUUUGUUAAAAUUUCUAAACUUACUCGUCGGAUUUAGUGAUCUCGAAUCACUGUUUCCGACACUACUGAAAAAUUGGCUGUUACAUAUUGAGUGUUUAGCAGAUACAUCACGGUGGUUUCAAAAAAGUUUAGAGCGAAAAAGGAAGAAACAAUGUGAUACAAUGAUUAUAGGUCGAGCAAAAAUGUGUGAAAAAAGAAAAAUCUAGAAAAAGUAAAAAGUAAAAAUAAGAAGAAAAAGUACAAAAUAAAAUCAAAAGCAUUGUGAGUGAGAAAAAAAGUAAAAAGUCAAGUGACAAAAUAAAAAGUCACAAAAGUGAGAGAAAAACUCAGUCAUCAAUGCACAAAAACUCAUUCAGCCAACCAUAGUUGUUAGUAUUAUAUUGUCUCUUCCUAUAUGGAGAGAUAAGGAAGGUGAGAGAGGGAGAAAAAAGACGACAAGCUUGAAAGGGGCACCUAAGGGAAGAGAAGGAAUAAUGUCAUGUGCCUAACUAUUUCUAGUGUUUGAACUAUUUUGAGCCAUAUCUUUCUUUGAACUCGUACCGUCCUAAGCCUCAGAAUGUUACAAGCCUAAAAGACCAAUGUGACUUAAGCGUUCUCUGUGCAUAAUCUUCCGGUACUACUAACAAUUGUACUUAAUGAAAAUUUUUGAUUCACAUGAUUGUAUCUGCUACAUAUCUAUUUGAUUUCUGUUAAUGGUGAUAUUGUUAAACAUUUGAUUGUGAGAAUUGCUUCUAAUUUAUUAGUGAUGUAACUUUGUAAACUAAUCUUAAUUUACUUUAAAAAGUUUUCAAUACAUCAAACUAUCAAAAAUAAGUUGCAUGUGCGAUAAAAUUUUUUGUACCUUUACUAUUUGACAACCAUAUUCGUAGUAGUAAUAAAUUCUAAGGGACGUCUUCUUUUUGCAUGCUAUAUGUCUACACUUAGUUUGCUUGAGGACAAGCAAAAAGUUAAGUGUGGGGGAGUUUAAGUGUGAGAUUCUUAUUUACAUCCAUCUUCACUAACUUUACAUUUGUUUAAAUAAAGAAAUCAAGUUAUUUUCGUAUUUUUUUUCCUUUUUCCCAUAUAUGUGUUUUGGUUGCUUGAGGACAAGCAACAAGUUAAGUGUGGGGGGAGUGAUCUACCACGAAUUAUACUAUUAUUUACAUCCCUUUUUACACAUAAUUGUAGCUUGUUUAAUAGUAAAUCAAAUUAUCUCAGUAUCUAUGUUUUCAUACUUGAAGUAAUGACAUAUGCUUUUUAGUAGUUUUUAUUACAUCCUAGAUAUCUAAAUAAGGUUACAUGGUCUUGUAGGACAAAUCGGGAGCUAAAAAUGCAUAAGCAGGCCGAAAAUGUUGGUUAUGUCGUAACACCAAGACACCGAUGUCACAACAUCAGGGACAAAAGCAAAACAAGUCCUGGAGCAAAACUGCUUGUUAUGUCUUGACAUAGCAAGCACCAGAUUCGAUUUUGCAACAUUGCAUGCCUAUGUUGCAACACCACUUCUGCGCAGUCCAAAAGUCCUAGUACGUGACAGUUGUGUUUUUUAGGGAAAUUAGGAGUAUUUUUCCUAGUCAAACUCUAAGUACUUCAAGGAUAGUUUAGACACUUUAAUAUUCCAAGUUUAACCUAUAUAAAGGCCAUUGUAAUAAGUUCAAACACACAAUUUUAAGGAGACAAAAAUUAUUCUUACUUUUUUAUUUUGUUCUUAGUUUCUACUUAGUUUAUUUUAUGUUCUUGUAAUCGAAAGAUCCUAUUCCAAAGUAAGACUUUAGUGAGAGGAGAUUGUUCGGAGUCAUGCUUUCAUCGAUAAAUCCAUGAGCAUAUCUUUUCUUUAUUUUAUUCUCUAUAUUUUUUUCUUUAUCAUUGUUAAUUGAAUGUUUGUGUAAAGAUUAGAAUCAAUUUAUAAUUUAUAUAUAUUUUGCAUGUUUCAAUUUUACUAAUCUUAUUACUUGAUUGAUUGGUAGAGUUCAUUUGGAUUGGUUAGAUCUGGUUGAGUGUUAUUAAACCCUAGGGUUUACGAUCCUAGGAAGUCAUCUAGGUAGGAAUUAACUUGAAAUUGGUAUUUCUUACAAAUCAUUACUUAGCAGAUCAGUGGUUAGGGAAGGAAGAACUUAAACCCUAUGAUAGACAACACUAGGAAGUCAUAUAGUUAUGAAUUAACCCAAAUUUGGUAUUGCCUAUCCAUGAAAACCUUAUCCUACCCCAUUCUAAACUAUAUCAUUGAGAGGUGAGUAGUUCUUGUCGUCUAGUUAGGUUAGUAGAAGUUGAGAAGCCCUGCUAGGUUAAUUAGUAACCAACUAUUUAAAUCCCUACAUUAAUAAUUAAUUAGGUAAAACAAUUGAAUCUAGGCUUAAGAAACUCCCGUAGUCGAAACAAGGGAUAGGAGAAGUUGAUACAUGAACUUAGGAAUAGAUUUAAGUUUAGUUCAAUUUAUUUGGUUAUUAUUAUUAUCAUCUUACUUUCAGAUUAACACUACUAAUCUGAAACUUUAGUAGAUUAGUAGUGAUUUUCGGUAAUUUGCCUAAAAGUAGUUUUUUUUCCAAACUGCAAUCCCUAGGGUAUAAUCCUCGGAAUACUUACCCAGUGUUUCAUUGUAAACAAACUAUAUUACAACCUGACCCAUAUACUUGUAGACACCACCUCAAUUCCAUAUAUUUUGUAACAGUAUUCAUACUUUCGAUGUUGGUAUGUCGAGAGGUGGUCAUUUAGCAAUUUCUAUUCAAAAGUGCAUGUAAGAAAGGAGUCUAGCUAGCUACUCACUAAUUGCUAUAGUACGACAAACCAUUAAUGAAGUUAAUUAAAGCUAAUUACUUAUCUAAGACAAAAAAGGACUAAAUUGUAAAUAACGCAAAACAAAAAAACUACUAAUUAAGAUAAUAGACAAUGGAUGGUUGAUUUCCAUGUUAAUUAACCCUCGAAUUAGGGAUCUAUAUUGCUCACAUUCCUAAGUUGGCUCAAUUUUAUCUUCCGAUCUCAAUUUUACCGACUUAGAUGAAUUAGUUCAGAUUUCACCGAUUAAUCCGGGACUAAUGGACAGGUGUACAACAAGAUUAUUUUAUCUUCCGAUCUCAAUUUUACCGACUUAGACGAAUUAGUUCAGAUUUCACCGAUUAAUCCGGGACUAAUGGACAGGUGUACAACAAGAUUACCUUCCGGUCUCACUUGCCUAAAUAUUCCCUUAUGGGCGUCACUUCCUAAGUUUUUAGAUUUAUUCGAUUUAUUCUCAUUUUGUAAUUUAGUCCCCGAACUCAAAAACUAACCUAGCAACAUUUUCAUCAAACACCUAGUGUUUAGUUACCCAUUACCAUAUUAAAGCUAACAAACAUGAAAGAAACAACUAUGGAACCUGUUAACAUAAACUUGAACAAAAAGAUAAAAGCUUUGAUUUUUAACUUUAUAAAUUUAAAUGAAAAGCAACUAACACAAAGAUAAAGAAACAAGAACACUAAAGAUAAUAGCUUUAACAGAUUAAAAGAAAGAAAACUCAUAUAGCAUUAACUCGAAGAUUAAAAAGUGAUUACAACUAAGUUGAAAGUAUUUAACAUGUAAAUAAAAAUAAGCUAUAGGAAAAACUAACUUAACUAACAACUAUGAAAAUAAGUAAAACCAGAAAGAAACAUAAACUAAAACCCUGAAACUAUAGAGAAGAAAACUACCCUACUCCUAAGUUAGAAGAUGAAAGAAACCCUAAAACUAAAGAGCUUUCUAACCUAAAACUACAACCUUUUUUUUUCUUAGCCAAGAGUGGCUUUUAAUAGUUGAUUCCUGACCCCAAAAAUGUUGCCCAAAUUUACACAUCAAUUUGUGGUAGAUUAAUGGCAAAGGGUCUAUACACCACAAUUUGGUCUAUCUUUGUUUCUCCUAUGUCUAUCAAGCUUUUCACUUCCAUUCAAGUCACUCCCAACCUUACCAUGUGAAGCACUAUUUGUAUCCUUCAACUUUGAUUUGCAUGUGAAUGCCAAGAAGGUCGUUUGUCUUCUAAAUUUGAGGUCUAAAUUUGUUUCUUUGACUGGACCCAAGAAGAUUGACUUUAACAAGCAUCAUUACUUAAAAGUACACCUAUUGUAACACCCCCUAACCCUGUCUCGUUACCGAAAUAGGAUUAUAGAGCAUUACCGAUCAUUACAAUACGUUUGCACAUAAAAAACAAAUAAAUGCAAUACUAUAUAUCUAAUCAUAGCUUUAAUGGACACACAGUACUUAUUAAGUAUAAAUAAAACAAAUCGAGGCUCGAUUGGGAGCUUAGAACAUUUUUCGUGCAAUUUUAAAUUUUCUUCUUUUGAACAGUACCACACGCCCAUGUGGCUAAUAUAACACGCCCGUGUGGCUUGGUACAUGUCAUUAUCAAUAAUUAACAUGUGUUACAAAUGUAUGUACAAUAUUUAUUACACAUGUAUUUUAUUUUUACCAUACACUUGUCUUUCUUUUAUUUAUUUAAUAAUAAUUAAUAUUAUUAAUUUAAAACCUUAAACAUAUAAAAAUCCAAUAAAAAUCUUAGAUUUUAUCUAAGCUUGUCGUCUUAUCUAUAGUAAAUUGGCUUAAUUAUCAUUUUGAUCCUUUUUAUUUUCUUUUAAUCUACAAUUAAACCUUCACACUUCAUUCAAUUUAAUCAUUUUUCCUAAUUAUCCUUAAUUUAAGCUAUUUCACUUCAUUAAACUUUAAUUAACCACUCAAUUAACUUCAUAAAUAUUUUUAAUAAAUAUUUACGAGUCCAUUUUUCAGAAAUGGAGACCUAAAAAUACACUUUUCCGAUAACCGUAAAGUUCGGGUCAUUACAAUUCUCCCCCUUAAUAAAUUUCAUCCUCGAAAUUUGCCUAAAAAGAGGUGGGGGUUCAGUGAUCUCACUGUUUCUUUCGGUUCUCGUAUUGCUUCCUCAAUAUUAUGACUUCACUUUUCAAGCUAAUAUCUCAAUCAGUUCUUCUUUUCCAUACAAUAUAUCAGUUCAAAUUUCAAUAUCAUUUGUCGAGAUAACAUGUAAGAGAUUUGAUCUAUAACUUCCGAGCAUCCAAACAUGAAAAACAUCAUAACUUUUCUGUAAUUUCAAAGGCAAAACCAAGCAAUAUAUCACUGGUCUAACUUUUUCUAUAAUUUCACAUAGCCAAACAGAACAAGAACUCAAUUUCCCAACGUUUUAAGUCUUCAUACGAUUUCUGUUUGUCAAAAACUGCUUUCAGUCUAUCUCAAAUCAAUUUUAUUUUCUUCAGUUUCCCGAAUCAAAAUAACUCUAUCUAUUCCUUUUCUUGCUGCAUCCAGUCAAAUACUAUGAAGUUUUACAUUCACAAUCAUACAGAGCUUCAUACAGUGCUGAAAACUAUUAUCGCGUACCCAAAACUUCUUAUAUUUGUUCUAGAAUCAGAAUGUAAACUAUUUAUCUCAAUCAGAAAUAAUAGAAACUGACAUACCAUGAAUCUGACAAUCUCAGAAACCCAUAUUUCAGAUUAUACUAAGUAAGAAACUUAUUCAUACCAGAAUAAAAUAUGCAAACUUCUCCAUACCUUCGACGAUUAUUCAAAUAUCAUCUUUCUUUUUCGACGAUAAGGAUAAUUUCAUUUCAAACCCAUAGAAAUACUAUCCCAUUUCCAUUUUGAUAUCAUCACUGGCUGUAACAGUCCUGAAGGUAUCAAUAUCUGAUGUUCACUUUGUAAGAGUAUGCCCAAAGAUCAAUCAUGAGAUGGUUGUAAUAACAUACUUGAUUUACCAUGUUUAUUAAUAUAAGGCGUUGCCAUUAUUAUUUCAGUUUCUUUUCUGUGUGUAUAAAUAAACUGUUUUAUAAUAAUGUCCUGAGAAUAAUAUGAUUAUUCUUAAAAGGUCAUUAGUCAAGUAUUAUUGUUGACUAGGACAACAAUAAUGCAUUAAAAAUAACAUGUAGUUGAUUGAUGAUAAAGAGUUGUUAUGGAGUGUCAGAAUCAAUGCAUGAAUAUGUGUGUUAGAGAACAACAUAUUGGACUGACCCGCUAUAAGUAUGGUUCUUAGAUUAUUAUGUAAUUGUCACAACAUUACUCAUAGUGAUUAAUAUGUAUAUGAUCCUCAGACUUGAGAUAAUCAUUAUCCCAACAUCGUGAGAUGUAUAUUCUGAUAUAGUCAAAUGUACACCGUAACUGGUUAUUUUAUAAAGGCUGAUGUUGGAUAUACCACAAUCUAUGUAGAGGGAUAUGGUUGAUCAAUAUAGGAUAAGUCUCUCUUACAUAAUGGGAGUAAUAUCUUAGGCUACUUGAUUGAGUGAGACUAGAAAUGCAUGGCCAUGCUCAAAUAAGUUGAUAUGAGAUGUCAUACUUAUUUGUGUAUCAUAGUCUACUCAAGGUAUCAAGAAACAUGGGAUGGACUAUGCAAAUGUGACUAUUCCAUGACUUGUGUCCAUUCCAGAGAUAAAGGACUUAAGGAUUAAUUUAUGAAAGGUUAAUCACAAUAGGUUAUGUCGAAUCAUGACUUCUUGUAACUUAGGUAGCAAUGAUGCAUUGCUAGAUGCCACUCAUUGUUUGUAACAUUAGAAUCGUUCUAGUAUUACUGCUAACGUUACAAGAACCUAUAGGGUCACACCCUAUGGUUGAAAUGAACGGAAUAAAACAUAGUUGGUAUUGUGUUUGGUUGUCACAUGAAUUAAAUUAAUUAUAGAAUUAAUUUAAUUAGGCAAUCAAAUAUCGAACAUAUUAUAUGUACAAGGAUGUUGUACACAUAAGGAGAACAUAAUUCUAUUAAUAUAUGAAUUUGGUUCGUAUAUAAAUUUAAAUAAAUAUAGUUUACCAAAAUCUUUAUUAUAAGUAAUGUAUAAUUUUCGGUUAAAACAUUAUUAUAUUUAUUUAUUUUAAUUAUGAUUAUUAUGUUCGGAUUAAAAUUUAAUAAAUUAAGAAUUUGUUAUAUACAUACCAAUUAUAAGGGGAGUUAUAUAUUGAAAGGGAGAAAAACCCUAAAAAGUGAAUAUAUAUACAAACCCGAAGCUUUGCUACUAGGUCUAGCAGCCGUCAAGCAAAAUAUCUCUGAAAAUAGUUUUGGGGAUUUCUUCCAUUCAUUAUCAAUUGGGUGGAUUACGUAAAGGCCGGGAUCAUAAAGAUUGCGGUUUGGAUUCAAAAGCAAAAUAGUAUUCUCAUUGCUGAGGCUUUACUGUCUACUCAGAUUGAAAUUUUUGUAAUUUCGAAACCUUUUUCACCCCGAUUCGUUCCUCGCACAUGGAUCCAUGGUUUGGAUAGUCGGAAUAUUUUUUUCACUGUGCCAUGGGGGUACGGGUAUUCCAAUAGUGGUAUCAGAGCCACUUGUGUGAUACGGACUCGGGUUUAAAUACUUGGGUGAUACAAUUGUAUGAGAUGCAUGCUUUAUUUUUAUUACGAUUUUUGACUAUUUAUAUCGUCUAAGCAUAAACUGAUUACCGUUCCUUUCGAUAAUUGAUUAAAUGUUAAUCAUGGUGUUAUGGCCUAUUCAGUUUCAUGUUAUUACUGUUAACUUUAAAAAUCUGUAAUGAUGCGACGGUGGUAUUUAUAGUUUCCAGUAAGAGUUAACUGGCUAGUGGAACAAGGGUUGUUCCGAUAUGAAACCUCAAGGAUUCAAAUCCUGAAAACACGAUUCUGUUGAUAAAAGUUAUCAAAUCGUGAGCUUUCAUUUGACUGGGGUAUGCGGUUCCCAUCAUCUUUCAGUAUGUUUUGUAAUAAAUAAAACCUGAUGGGCCAUAAAAGGUUGAAAGGAUAUUUUAUAAUUCAUUUAGCAAAACGUUGAAUGAUGUAUGCUAUUUUUGAAAUGCACGGUGUUUGAAAUGCAUAGUUAUAGCCCGAUGACCCAUUUGAUAAAAUGUUGUAAUUUUAUAAAUACAACCUGCGUGUUGUGCCUUACUACUAUUCUCUUCUAUUUCUCUUCUCACCUUACUCCCUCGUAUGUAAAACGAGUUUCUGAAUAUUGUAAUUUGCAAAAGCUGCUAUGGACUAGACGAGAAGGAAGAUGAGCCAACUAAUGUGGACUGACAGCUUGUGAAACGGCUUACACCUUUAGGUUUCCUUUUGGUUCUCCCAUUGGCUUGGGUUGAACCACCAUAGUUUAUGGGCUAUAAUGCAUUUAUUUAUUGCUUUAUCUAUUCAUGUAUGAGAUGCUAUAGAUGUCCAAAGCAUACAAAUUUGGUAAUAAUAAACCCUAUUAAUUGAUGAGAUCAAUUAAAAUAUUAAAUGGACUGAAGUAGACCAUAAUUGGUGAGAUACAACAACUUUAAUAAAAUCCCUCUAUUUAAAUAUUAAGUCAACAUGGCCUUCCAAAUUUUUCCCUCAUUAAGGCCUCGAUCAAUACUAUGUAGGUUCUGCCAAAGUGAAGUAGUAGUAUUUAUCUUGGUUAAACGCGAAGAAUAAACAAGUGAUAUUCGCUAUUUAAAAAUUGGUUAAUGACUUAACUAGGUUACUCUAAUAGGAUUAGAAACCUAGAAGCAAGUAAUUUGGAUAAAUCAUAAGAUGAUUAGAACAAGAGUUGUUCAUCAAAUUGUAGGAGUUACAUAUGAUGUAAUUAGCAAGUGUUGCUUACCUAAAUAACCAUAAUCUUGAGAGUAAAGCCAAAGCUGACUUAAGAGGAGGUGAAAUAUGGAUCCUUAACCCACUAGAAAUACUUUCAAGAAAGUCUUUCUGAAAUUAAUAUAUGAGGGUUAUUAAUUUUGAAAUAAAAUAGUAGGAACAUCAUAUAAUAAAGUCCUUUUAAUGAUUGAUAUAAACUUGGUAAAUUUAUUCACACGCAUAUUUUAUUGUUGUAGAUAUAUUAUGGCUGCAAACACUAAUACACUCUCAUUGCGAUCGAUUCUUAAGAAGGACAAAUUGAAUGGUUUGAACUUUCUUGACUAGUACCGUAACUUGAGGAUUGUCCUCAAACAAGAACGGAAAUUAUAUGUCAUUGAACAACCACUUCCUAAUGAACCACCCGCUAAUGCCUCGAGGGCUGAUAGAGAUGCUUACAAGAAACAUCUCGAUGACAUGGUAGAUGUUGGAUGUAUUAUGCUUGCUACUAUGAAUCCUGAGCUUCGGAAGCAACAUGAGGACAUAGUUGCUUAUGAUAUGAUCGAGCACCUGAAAGAACUUUAUCAGGGGCAAGCACGGCAAGAGAGGUUCGAUAUCUCUAAGGCCCUUUUCCAAUGUAAGCUGGAUGAAGGAAGCCCAGUAAGACCUCAUGUCCUUAAGAUGAUUGGUUAUAUUGAAAGCCUAUCUAAGCUUGGGUUUCCAUUGAGCCAAAAGUUGGCAACUGAUGUUAUUCUGCAAUCGUUGCUGGAUAGCUACAGCUAGUUUGUCCUCAAUUUCAAUAUGAAUAAAAUUGACAAGACUCUGCCACAGCUGCUCAGUAAGUUGUGAACUGCUGAAGGCAACAUGAAAAAGGUUGGACCCAAGCCCAUACUGAUGGUCCGUAACAACAAGGGCAAGGGAAAGGCCAAAGUUCAGGCAAAGCCCAAGGGCAAAGGUAGGCCCAAUCCUGGAAAAGGAAAGGUUGCACUGAAACCUAAAGGUGGGGUGUCUAAGGAAGGAAACUAUUUUCAUUGUGGUGUGACUGGACAUUGGAAGCGGAACUGCCCUCUCUAUCUUGAGGAAAUCAAGAAGGCCAAGGCAAGCGGAACGUCUGCUUUAGGUAUUUAUGUUAUUGAUAUUAAUUUAUCAAUUACUACUUUUUGGGUAUUAGAUACUGGUUGUGGUUCUCAUAUUUGUACUUCUGUACAAGGACUACAAAGGAAUAGGACUUUGGCUAGAGGAGAUAUGGACCUGGGAGUUGGAAAUGGAGCAAGAGUUGCUGCAAUAGCUGUGGGAACAUAUACUUUAUCUUUUCCUAGUGGACUUGAUUUAUGUUUAGAGGAUUGUUAUUUUGUGCCCAUUUUAACUAAAAACAUUAUUUCAAUUUCUCGUUUAGACAAAAUUGGUUUUGAGAUAAUUAUUAAUAAUAAUUGUUGUUCAUUUUAUCUCAAUAAUGUUUUCUAUUGUUCGGCACAAUUGAUUAAUGACCUCUAUAUUUUAGAUCAAAUAAAUCUCAUUUACAACAUAAAUACUAAAAGAUCUAAAAUAAAUGACUCAAAUCAAACUUAUCUUUGGCAUUGUCGUUUGGGCCACAUAAGUAAGAAACGCAUAUUCAAACUCCAUAAAGAUGGUCUCUAGGAUGCAUUUGUUUUUGAACAAUUUGAAGUAUGUGAAUCUUGCUUAUUGGGAAAAAUGACUAAAUCUCCUUUUACUGGUAAAAGUGAACGAGCUAGUGAUUUAUUAGGCUUAAUACAUUCUGAUGUAUGUGGACCAAUAAAUACACUGGCCAGAGGUGGAUUUCAUUACUUUAUUACUUUCACUGAUGAUUUUAGUAGAUAUGGGCAUGUUUAUCUCAUGCGCCAUAAGUCUGAGGCCCUUGAAAAGUUCAAGGAAUUCAAAAAUGAAGUACAAAAUCAACUAGGCAAAACUAUCAAGGCACUUCGAUCUGAUCGAGGUGGAGAGUAUUUGAGCUUAGAGUUUGAUGAUCUUUUGAAGGAAUGUGGGAUUGUCUCACAACUUAAUCCUCCUGGUACUCCUCAAUGGAAUGGAGUUUCUGAAAGAAGAAAUCGAACUCUGUUAGACAUGGUUCGAUCCAUGAUAAGUCAUGCUGAUCUACCGACUUCCUUUUGGGGACAUGUACUUGAAAAAGCUACUUUCACACUAAAUCGUAUUCCAUCUAAAUCAAUUCAAAAGACGCCAAAUGAGAUGUGGACUGGGAAACGUCCCAAUAUGUCUUUUAUGAAAAUUUGGGGUUGCUAAGCUUAUCUUAAAUGUUAGACGUCUACUAAGCUUGAACCCAAAUCUGAAAGGUGUAUUUUUGUGGGGUAUCCGAAAGAAACCAAAGGAUAUUAUUUCUUUAAUCCCACUGAGAACAAGAUGUUUGUUGCUCGGACUGGUGUCUUCUUAGAGAGAGAAUUUGUUUCUAGAAAAGGAAGUAGGAGAAAGAUUAAACUUGAAAAAAUUCGAGAAUCACAAGAUACCACUGAACUAGAGAUAGAACAACAGUAAAUUCCACAAGAAAUUGAGGAACAAGUAACUGCUGUAGAAACACAAUCACCGCCGCAGAUCUUUAAGAGAACGCCAUACACCUGAGAGAUAUGGAUUUCUCAUUACAACACAUGGUGACGUUCUUCUUAUCGAUCAAUAUGAGCCUAGAACUUAUCAAGAAGCGGUGACGAGCCCAGACUCUGAGAAAUGGCUUGAAGCCAUGAGAUCUGAGAUGGAAUCCAUGUAUGAAAACCAAGUAUGGAGUACGAUUGACCCACUCGAAGGGGUUAAACCCAUAAGGUGCAAAUGGGUUUUCAAAAAAAAACCGACAUGGAUGGUAAUGUACAAACAUACAAGGGGCGAUUAGUCGCUAAAGGUUUUCGCCAAAUUCAUGGUGUUGACUAUGAUGAAACCUUUUCUCCUGUAGCUAUGUUUAAAUCCAUCAGGAUCUUGCUCGCCAUAGCUGCAUUUCAUCAUUAUAAAAUCUAGCAGAUGGACGUCAAAACAGCUUUCCUUAACGGGAAACUUGAAGAGGAUGUGUACAUGACACAGCCUGAAGGUUUUAUCAAUCCAAAGGAUGCUAAAAAGAUAUGUAAGCUACAAAGAUCCAUUUAUGGAUUAAAGUAAGCUUCUCGAAUUUGGAAUCUUCGUUUUAACGAUGCAAUCAAAGAGUUUGGUUUUAUCAAAAAUGAAAAUGAGCCAUGUAUUUACAAGAAAGUUAGUGGGAGCACUAUCACAUUCUUGGUACUAUAUGUGGAUGACAUACUUAUCAUGGGAAAUGACAUACCUACCUUGCAGUCUAUUAAGACUUGGUUAGGAAGUUGUUUUUCUAUGAAGGACUUGGGCAAAACCACUUACAUAUUAGGAUUCAAGAUCUAUAGAGAUAGAUCAAGACGAUUACUAGGUCUAAGCCAAAGUACAUACAUAGAUAAAGUAUAGAAAAGGUUCAACAUUGAAGAAUCUAAGAGAGGAUUCCUACCUAUGAGGCAUGGUAUUUCACUCUCGAAGGAAAUGUGUCCUUCAACUCUACAAGAGAGAGAACGCAUGAGUAAAAUUCCAUAUGCUUCUGCUAUUGGAUCUAUCAUGUAUGCCAUGUUAUGUGCCCGUCCAGAUGUCUCAUAUACCUUAAGUAUGACGAGCAGGUACCAAGUAGAUCCCGGUGAAGGUCACUGGACCACAGUCAAGAAUAUUCUUAAGUACUUGAGAAGAACAAAGGAUACAUUCCUAAUAUAUGGAGGUGAGGAAGAGUUAAGUGUAAAAGGUUACACCGAUGCCAGCUUCCAAAUCGACAAGGAUAAUUCUCGAUCUCAAUCAGGUUUUGUGUUUUGCCUUAAUGGUGGUGCAGUGAGCUGGAAGAGUUCAUAGUAAAGUAUAGAAGCCGAUUCUACAACAGAGGCCGAGUAUAUUGCAGCCAGUGAGGCAACAAAAGAAGCAGUUUAGAUCAAGAAUUUCAUCACUGGACUAGUGAUUGUGCCUAGCAUAUCAGAUGCUAUAGAACUCCGAUGUGAUAACAAUGGAGCCAUUGCACAAGCUAAAGAACCCAGAUCUCACUAGCGAUCCAAACAUAUACUUAUGCGCUACCAUAUUAUUUGAGAGAUUAUCGAUCGAGGGGAUAUAGAGAUAUGUAGAGUAACUACAAAUGACAACAUUAUUGAUCCCUUUACCAAGCCUCUAACACAGCAGAAGCAUGAUCGUCACACUAAGUCACUUGGUAUUAGAUAUAUGAGUGAUUGGUCUUAGUGCUAGUGGGAGAUUGUAAGAGUAUGGCCAAAGAUCAAUCAUGAGAUGGUUGUAAUAACAUACUUGAUUUACCAUGUUUAUUAAUAUAAGGUGUUGCCAUUAUUAUUUCAGUUUCUUUUAUGUAUGUAUAAAUAAACUGUUUUAUAAUAAUGUCCUGAGAAUAAUAUGAUUAUUCUUAAAAGGUCCUUAGUCAAGUAUUAUUGUUGACUAGGACAACAAUAAUGCAUUAAGACUAACAUGUAGUUGAUUGAUGAUAAAGAGUUGUCAUUGAUAUGGAGUGUUAGAAUCAAUGCAUGAAUAUGUGUGUUAAAGAACAACAUAUUAGACUAACCCGCUAUGAGUAUGUUUCUUGGAUUAUUAUGUAAUUGUCACAACAUUACUCAUAGUGAUUAAUAUGUAUAUGAUCCUCAGACUUGAGAUAAUCAUUAUCCCAACAUCGUGAGCUGUAUAUUUUGAUAUAGUCAAACGUACACUAUAACUGGUUGUUUUAUAAAGGCUGAUUUUGGAUAUACCACAAUCUAUGUAGAGGAAUUUGGUUGAUCAAUAUAGGAUAAGUCCCUCUUACAUAAUGGGAGUAAUAUCUUAGGCCACUUGAUUGAGUGAGACUAGAAAUGCAUGGCCAUGCUCAAAUAAGUUCAUAUGAAAUGUCAUACUUAUUUGUGUAUCAUAGUCUACUCAAGGUAUCAAGAAACAUGGGAUGGAUUAUGCAAGUGUGACUAUUCCAUGACUUGUGUCCAUUCCAGAGAUAAAGGACUUAAGGAUUAAUGCAUGAAAGGUUAAUCACAAAAGGUUAUGUCGAAUCAUGACUUCUUGUAACUUAGGUAGCAAUGAUGCAUUGCUAGAUGCCACUCAUUAUUUGUAACAUUAGAAUCGUUCUAGUAUUACUGCUAACGUUACAAGAACCUAUAGGGUCACACCCUAUGGUUGAAAUGAACGGAAUAAAACAUAGUUGGUAUUGUGUUUGGUUGUCACAUGAAUUAAAUUAAUUAUAGAAUUAAUUUAAUUAGGCAAUCAAAUAUCGAACAUAUUAUAUGUACAAGGAUGUUGUACACAUAAGGAGAACAUAAUUCUAUUAAUAUAUGAAUUUGGUUCAUAUAUAAAUUUAAAUAAAUAUAGUUUACCAAAAUCUUUAUUAUAAUUAUGUAAUAAUAAUUUUCGGUUAAAAUAUUAUUAUAUUUAUUUAUUUUAAUUAUGAUUAUUAUGUUCAGAUUAAAAUUUAACAAAUUAAGAAUUUGUUAUAUACAUACCAAUUAUAAAAGGAGUUAUAUAUUGAAAGGGAUAAAAACCCUAAAAAGUGAAUAUAUAUACAAACCCGAAGCUUUGUUACUAGGUCUAGCAGCCGUCAAGCAAAAUAUCUCUGGAAAUAGUUUUGGGGAUUUCUUUCGUUCAUUGUCAACUGGGUGGAUUAUGUAGAGGUCGAGAUCAUAAAGAUUGUGGCUUGGAUUCAAAAGCAAAAUAGUAUUCUCAUUUCCGAGGCUUCACUGUCUACUCAGAUUGAAAUUUUGGUAAUUUUGAAACCUUUUUCACCCCGAUUCGUUCCUCGCACAUGGAUCCAUGGUUUGGAUCGCUGGAAUAUAUAUAUAUAUUCCACUAUGCCAUGGGGGUACUGGCGUUCCAACAUAGUUUUCAUCUAAUUUACGAGAUUAUUCAUCUCCAGUAUACGUUUCAUAAUCAAUACCAUCGAUAUGUUCAUCUAACAUUUUCAACUAUAAAACAGAACCAAGCAAUUAUAUCAGCAUCCGAUCCCGACUCAAGUUUAACAUAGAAAUGGCAUGUACUUUUAGAAUCUUUUCUAAACUCUAUUUAGUCCUAGAAUCGACUAAACCUAAGUAGCUCUGAUACCACUAAAUGUAACUUCCCCUAACCCCGUCCCGUUCCCAGAACAAUAUUAUAGAGCAUUACCGAUCAUUACAAUACGUUUGCAUAUAAAAAUAAAUAAAUGCAAUACUAUAUAUCUAAUCAUAGCUUUAAUGGACCCACAGUACUUAUUAAGUAUAAAUAAAACAAAUCGAGGCUCGAUUGGGAGCUUAGAACAUUUUUCGUGCAAUUUUAAAUUUUCUUCUUUUGAACAGUACCACACACCUGUGUGGCUAAUAUAACACGCCUGUGUGGCUUAGGACACGUCCGUGCCCUUAGCCCGUGUGCAACAUUGAAUUUAAAACACGGCCUUGACACACGCCCGUGUGUCAGGCUGUGUGGACUCAAUAAUGAGCCUUUCACACUUUACUAGCCAACCCUGCAAAAUUUCAAUCUACAACCAAUACAAAUAUUUUAUAUAUAUAUACUAUCCAAUUUUAGCAAUAAAACAUACAUCCAAUUUGCCCUCAGUGGUACCACAAUUUAUAUCAAUUAAACAUUAUCAUACAAACCUAAUUAAUUUUCUUAGGUUUAGUUACCAAAAUUUACAUGUUUCAUACAUAAUUCAACAUCGUUAUAUCUUUCAUUACCAUUUACAAACAUUAACUUAAUGAUCUAGGUACAUGCCAUUAUCAACAAUUAACAUGUGUUACUAAUGUAUGUACAAUAUUUAUUACACAUGUAUUUUAUUUUUACCAUACACUUGUCUUUCUUUUAUUUAUUUAAUAAUAGUUAAUAUAAUUAAUUUAAAACCUUAAACAUAUUAGAAUCCAAUAAAAAUCUUAGAUUUUAUCUAAGUUUGUCGCCUCAUCUAUAGUAUAUUGGCUUAAUUUCCAUUUUGAUCCUUUUUAUUUUCUUUUAAUCUACAAUUAAAUUUUCACACUUCAUUCAAUUUAAUCCUAUUUCCUAAUUAUCCUUAAUUUAAGCUAAUUCACUUCAUUAAACUUUAAUUGACCACUCACUUAACCUCAUAAAUAUUUUUAAUAAAUAUUUACGAGUCCAUUUUUCAGAAAUAGAGACCCGAAAAUAUACUUCUCCGAUAACCAUAAAGUUCGGGUCAUUACACCUAUGAUAAUUUUUCCUUUAGACCCAAAAUUUUAGUUAAUAAAAGUUGAACCAAGUAUUUUGUAAUUGGUGAUGUCAUAUCCUGUUAAUGUAGCAUGCUUCCACCCACCUAUAGAAAGAACUAUAAUCUAUUGUAAGAUGGCCAUUCAUGCAACAACUCGCAUGUCUGAUGAACAGGCUAAAUGCUAGAAUUGUGCACUUCCAGUUGGUGGAUUAUCAAGCAAAAAGACUUUGGCAAAAAAUGUGGCGAACAGUCCAAGUGUAAGGCAUAAUGGCGGACAAUCUAACCACCAACUGCCUUGAAGCUUUUGUUACAAGCUAACAAGUUUUCAACUUGUUCUAUAAAGUUGCAAGAUUAUUUUAUUUAUCUUUAUUUUGAUAGGUUAAUGUAAACAGUGUUGAUUAAACAAAAAUCAACUAAUGAGUAGGUACCAUGUAUUUAGACUUACCAACUUGUCAAGUUGUAGUUAAUACUUUUCUAUUUAAAGCUAUAUAUUUGAUUGCUAAUCUUUGCUUUGUUUUCUUUUUCCUUUGUAUCAAAAACCAACAAUUGGUACCUAGAGCCAGUCAUUUUUUAGGGCAUUUGAUUUAUCAAAAACCUAUGUUUCUUUGUUGUUUUGUAAAAAUGUCUUCAACUAGUUUUAUACCUCAUGCACCACUAGUUUUUAAUGGUGAAAACUACCAUAUUUUGGUAGUCAAGAUGAAGACCUACUUAAAAUUUUUUAACUUAUGGGAGGUUGUGAGUGCAGAUGUAGAGCCACCAUCAUUAAGAGCCAAUUCGACUUUAACAUAGAUUAGGCAGCAUAAUGAUGAUCAUGCUAAGAAAUUCAAGGUAAUUUCGUGUCUUCAUAAUGGUGUUUCUGAUGUGAUUUUCACGAAAAUUAUGGCCUAUGAGACUCCAAAACAAGCUUGGGAUAAGUUGAAGGAAGAGUUUUAAGGUACAGACAAAACAAGACAGCAACAAAUUAUCAACUUGAGGAUAGAUUUUGAGAACCUAAAGAUGAAGGAGUCUGAAACUAUUAAACAGUAUUCUAACAAAAUCAUGGAUGGUAUAAACAACAUAAGAUUUCUUGGAGAUUAGUUUCCUGAUAGCAGAGAAGUUGAGAAGGUGAUCAUUACACUUCCUAAGAGGCAUGAGUGAAAAAUAUCCUCUCUUGAAGAUUCGAGAGACCUAUCAACAAUCUCUCUAUCAUAACUAAUAAAUUCAUUGUAUGCUCAAGAACAAAGGAGAGUUGCAAGGUAGAAGAAGCAUGUUGAGGGAGCUUUUCAAGCAAGAAAUUAGGAAGGCUUGAGCUCCUCUAACAAUAAAGGAAAGAAAAUCAGGUAAAAAAGACAGAGAGGUCGAGGAGAGAAGGUGUAAAGAAGAAAUAUCCAUAAUGCUCUCGCUAUAAAACGAUUACUCAUUGUGAGAAGUUUUGUUGGUUCAGACCAGACAUACAAUGCAAAACUUGCAAGCAGUUUGGACACGUAGAGAAGGUUUGCAAUAAUAAAGUGUGAAAACCCAACAGCCACAACCACAUUAGAAUAUCCAGGCUUAAGCAACUAAGAGAAAUCAUGCUUAGGAGGAGCAAGUGUUCGUAACCUCUUGUUUUGCACCUAAAAACAAAAUCACAAAAGGUUGGCUAAUCGACAAUGGAUGUACCAACAUAUGACCUCAAAUGAAGCAUCUUCAAAAAGAUUAAUAAAAGUUGCAUUUCAAAAGUGAGGGUUAGAAAUGGCGAACUCAUACAAGCCAAAAGCAAAGUAGGUGUACUGAUCAAUAAGUUAUCAGGUACAAAAGUAAUUUCAGAUGUUCCUUUAGUACCUGAAAUAGAUCAUAAUCUUCGAUAAAGAUAUGAGGCUUUUUUUGGGGACUUCUAAUGUUAGAAAUGUUAGUAAAAAGGUAUAUGAAUAGAUUUUGAUGUGUUUUUAUGUUCUAUAUCAAUGGUUCCUGUUGAUUGCUUUGCGAUGGGUGAGAAUCAGAUGAGUCUCUAAACUGACUUUUGUGUGUAUUAUUCAUACUAGAAAAGCUGUAAGAAAUUGGUUGGAAGGUGAUGUGUGGUCUUGUAAGUUACAGUAUGUUGUGUAUGUGACUUAGGAGUGACUAUUAAAGGAUAUAUAUGACUGUGUCAAUGUUUAUUAAGAAUAGAAUGCAUAUCUGGUAUGAAUAUGAUAGUUCUAGUAAGGCGAUAUGAGGUAUGGUUGCAUCUGAAUGUCAUGAAUAUAUAUGUGUGUGUCUUUGAUGUAUGCUAUGAGGAAUGUUUUUUUAAGAGUAAGUUGUUAUUCAAAUGGUGAAUUUGGAUCAUGUCAGUGCAUGUAGAGUAUGUGUCUGUCUUCGCGGUAUUGUCUAAAGGAGUCUGUUAGGACUUUAAGUACAAAUUCUGAAAAGAAAAUUCCAUGCCUUCCAAAAGGAACUAAAUGAUGGUAAUUACCCAAUGGGGUUAUCUGCGUAUCCCAGGAUGAUGAUAGGAAAACCUCACGCAAUGUGAGUUUAAGAAAAUCCAUAUGUAAACACGUCAGGAAAUGAAGCCUUUGUAGAUAACUUUAAAAAGAAAGCCUUUGUGGCUAACUCUGAAAAGGAAGCCUUCAUGUCAAACUCUGAAGGAAUAGCCUCUAUGGUAAGCCUUUGUGGUGUAAUGUAAAAGGAACACCUAUGUGGCGAAUUAUGAAAAUAAUAGCCUUUGUGGUGGAUUAUGAAAGAGCACCAUUCAUAGCGAAAUUCGAAUGGGCUACCCUUGUGGCAUGUCUUAAUAAAGCUCUUAGUGGGAAAUGUUUAAAAGAUGACCCUUGUGGUAAUUUUUGAAUUAAGCUAAUUGUCGUAUUCAAUUUGGCUUUCAAAUGUAUUCAGAACACAAGCAGCAAGGUAUAAGUUAUCUAUUAAUUAUACGGUGAAGUAUCACAUAAGACUAUCAAUCGAUUAAAAGUAUUGAAUUGAAGAGAUAUAGAGAAAUGAGGAAUUAGUAUGGGAAGUGUAUUCAGAAUAAGGAUUUGAAAUUGUACGUUUGAAGAAGGUAUCUGUCAUCUAUGCACAUGGUCAUACUUGAAUCAUGGUGAAGUGAUGGCUUAGAACUAAGUAUGUUACAGUAAUAGUGUGUUGGUUAAGUUGAUCUUGGAAAGGAAAUGAAAAAAUACUUAUAAAUGCUCGAACGAAAGGCGUGCGUGAUGUAUCGAAUACCCCAAUGGAAAAAGAGUUAAUUUUUGAGUAAGGCAUGAUAUAUAUAGUGUAUGAAGAAUGGAAUUUGACGGAAGCAAUCGCCAAAGACAGGUUUUGAGAGUAAAUCCUAUCUACAAUUGAGAUUCUUAAAGGAUAGAAUCAAUCUUUUAAGAUUACAAAAUCAAGUCUUAUCAUGUUACAUAUCUUCUAAGAUUGGUUUCCUUAUUUGCCAAUAUAGCCCAAAUUUUCCAUAAAUGCUUCACUGGACCACCAAGGCUUCAAGGAGACAGGCUUCUCCACAUGCUCCACAAAUUGAGCCAAUUCAAAUGCGUCGAAUGAGCCCCAUUUCAUCAUUUGACCUCCAUGGAACAAUCUUUGCACAUUCAUCACGGGCUCUGAUCCGCGGCCUAUGACAUAAGCACAUAAAUGUUUAGUAAGUUCAAUUGGCAAGUAUUAUACUUACCUUGCUAGGUGGACCUACAAAUUCAUUGCUCAACAAGCUUCAUAUUCUCAUGUUAGUUACUUAGGAUAAGAUAAGGCAAAUGUAUAGGUAACCAUGUUCAUUAAUACCAUACAAGCAAAUUAUAACAUGUCCAAUAAGUGUUCAUUAUAUUCUAUUGAUCACAUGUGCACCUAUUUCCAAUUUAUUACAACCUUUCAAUUACAAUUCACAAGUUAAAAUAAUCAAGUUCAUACCUUUUUCAACCUUAAUUAUUUUAUUUAACCAUUUCUUGUCUGAUAUCAAUUUUGUAGCCCAUGUAAUCUUAGUAAAAUAGGACCCAAGUACUAUGAGAAAACCAAAAACUGUAUGAGCAUCGAAGUGCUAAGCUCGAAGACUAUCACAUAUCAUAUCAUGUAGGCCUCCGAAGAGGUAUUGAAAGUCUAAUGGUCUACAACAAAUGUUUUACCAAGGGUAAGAUAGAACUAGGUCUUCAGAAAACAAACCACAUACCUCUGAACCUCACACCACAACAAAAGUACUUAGGUGUAAGGCAUGAAGGCAACGUAUAACAAAUAGGCUCAAAGGCGACAUACACAUAUAACCCUAAUUGACAUGCCAAUCAUAUCCUAACCUUUCUACCAAGUUUACAUGAGCUAUCAUUAACAUAUUAAAGAAUUCACAUCAAGUACCAUUAAAGCAAUUUUUCACAUGUAUUGUCAUAUUUCCAUAAUGCCACACUUUAAUCACAAGAGUUAAAAUCUUCAACUGAGGUUUUCAUACCACAUGAAUUUACAUGUUUGUUCAUUCACAUUAACAUGGUUACUAAUCUCAUAAUCAUACUAAAUCUUAACUUGACAUAGUCAAUUACCAUAUUUAACACCUUGUUUCAUAUUUAAUUCUUUGCACAACAUGGUUUAGUCUAUAAACAUAUUAACUAGUAUAAUCCAUUAAGGUUCUGUUAAUAUACUUGUUAAUUAAUCAUCCAUUCUUGAUCUUAGCAUGUUAUAUUCAUUAUGCAUCAAAUUAAAUGUUGUUGAGCUAUUUAACACUUAUAAACAUUGUACUAAAAACACAUAAUAAGCAAAUAUUAUAAGUUCAAGUGAACUUACCUAUUAAGAUAUGGCUAAAAUGAAUGAAAGAUCAUUUAAUGAUCAUCAAUUUAAAUUUUCAUUUCCUUAACUUAAGCUUCAUUUGGUUAGCCUUAUUCUACUCAAAAUACAUACAACACAUACAAGCAUUGAAUUAAUAAUUUGAAUCUCCUUUGGUUAGUCUUACAAGCAUUGGAUUAAUUGAAUUCAACACUUGAUAGCCAUAUAGUGGCCACUUUACUUGUUGAAAAUUCAAGAAUGCUUAACCUUUGACGCAUAGACUUUUAUAUCCAAAAUUGAUAUAACUCCCAAUUUUCCUAUUCAAUUUUUUUGUUCCAACUUUAAAAUUAUAAUUUUAAGACCUCAAAUGAUCCAAAAACAUGUUUAAACUCCAAAGUUCUCAUCAUUAUCUCUAAGGCUUCUUAAGUACUCAACAAUGUUGGUAUGAACAUCCUUCAUACCAAUUUCUAAUCUACCUUCUUUUCUAACUUACUUACACUCUUCUAAGUUCAUCCCAACAAAAGCAUUGAACUAUCAUGAUCAAGCUUUAUCUCUUUAAGUUCCAAGCAUUCAUCUAUGAUUAUCUAAGGAUUUUUCUCAUCAAUUUUAACAUCGAAAUGAAUGGGCUCAUGCUUAUCUAUUAUUUUAUGCUAUCAAUUAAACCAAAAUUCAAAGGAAACUUAUCAAUUUCUUGAAGAGCAGCUAACGGCACCAUGAAAGCUCCAUGAAAAUUUCCUUUUUCUUCUUUGUUCUUAAACGAUGGAGAAUGGAUGAGGAUGACCAUGUAAUAAGCUUAUUCUCUCACCCACUAAGCAUAUAUAUACCUAAUUAAUCAAUUUAUUAACCUUUAAUAAUAAUCAUCCAAAGUUGGGAUUUAAGCAUGACAAAUUGAGCGGAAAUCUAUGGCUUUUGCCAUGCUUCUCCACUAAGUAAAUAAAUGAUGGUUUAUUUGUCAUUUUAAGGCAUUUGAUUAAUUUUUCAUCCAAUCCUCCAAACCUUGCAAGUUCACAUUUAGAUCUUAUGCAUCAAUUAUUAAUUUAUCAAUUUAAUCCAUUAAUAAUUCUCGACAAUAUUUCAUAUCUACCUCAUUAACUUCUCGAUUAAUAAUAAAUUUUCGAAACGGCUUGAUUGAGAAAUCGAAUUAUUCCUAGCACAGCGAAAAAUGGAUCAUCAAACUAUUUUAAUUUGAUUUAUUAAUGUCUUUUCCAAAUUCGUAUUUAAUUAAUAAAUAUUCCCCAAUAACCAACACUCGACAACAGUCAUUUUGGUAGUUCAUUUGAGUUACUUUGCCAUUUCCCUUUUGCUCGGCUUGUCCUUUUUUUUUUAUUUUUCUGAUUACCUUGUUCCCUUUGACCACCUUCAUUAAUUGAUAAUUUUUCCUUGUAUUAUAGGAGAUUUAUAAAUAUUCAUAUUGUAGCAAAAGUAAACUCAAAUUUAGAGUGCACAAGGAAAUAGUCAAAUAUCUCAACUUCAAAAGCCUUUAAUUAAGCCACAAUGUGUUCGCGCACUCUAUUAACACUAGUGAAUUUCAUUAAUAAUAAUUUGAGUACUAGCUAAAAUUUUAUCCCAAGAUUUAAAUUGUCUUUCAAUAAAUCCUCGACAUUUUUGUGGUUGUGGUCUCCAAAUACUUUUGUGAUCAUCCAUAAAGAACAACUUCAGCACGUAAUUCAACUUUAUGAAUAGUCAUCACUAAUUAAAUCAUGCAUAUUAAAUUUGAUAUCAGAAAAGUUUACAAGUAGCUUCAUAAAUACAUAAUUGUGAUAUAUUUGAAUGGUUUUCCACCUCAGCAUAAACUUAUUUUAGAGUAAAUUUGUAUGCGUUUUAGUCUUGUUACAGUAUCCAAGCCUAAUGGCAAUACCUUAAUAGUAAUUAUUCUCUCUAUCUAGUACUCGAAACUGGUUUUAAAUAUCUUCCAUUCAUUCAACAAAUAGUUAUGGUCUAAAGAAAUUUCUGGAAUUCAUGGCUGCCUACUUGCGAGAGGACUAAUGAAAUAUGCGAUGCAAGUUGAUGAAAUCUUAUAAUUUGUAAUAUAAAAAACAAAAACCAUACCUCCUUAAUAACAUAAAUAACACGUUCCAUAAUCAACAUCUGAGAACUUAAAACUUAAUUGUAAUGUUGGCUGAACCAGACUCAAAAAGGGGAGAAAAGAAAAAUAAGUCCGAACCUGAAAAAACUGACCGUAUAGAAAACCCUGACAGGCAGAACAGUAGCAAGCAACAUAAAACCAAGACAUAUUCACUUAAAGCACUUGGCAUCCAAGAGAGGCUCUCCCUCAAAUGGCUCGCAGUCUUCAAUCAUCUGAUUCACCCGUUCCUUCUGGGAUGCAUCUGAGAGGUCAACCUUCUUCCACUCGUAGAGUUCCAUGUCAUAGCACUCGUCAAUCACAAAUUGAGGAAUCUCUUGCCCACGGAAAAGCCAUAGUCCUUUCACCUUGAAUGGGGGGUUAGCACCGAUCACCAACAUCUUCCCAAAUGCAUACUUGCGGGCCAAAUCCAUUCUCUGCAGGAAUCCUCCAACCUUGUUCAUUGUGACAAAUGAAACUGUAUUCUCCUCAUUGUACUUGUAGUCACAAAACCACAGUGAGUAUCCCUCGGGAUCAUACAUGUCCCAGAAUCCUGACACGAAUCAAGUAUCAGAUAUCACAAGUCCAAACAUUGCUUUUAAAAGGGAGUGCUACUGUGAAAACAACGGGAAUACCUUUAAUUGCAACCUCUCGGAAAUUGGUCUUUGUGUUAGAGUAAAGCCUUUUCCAGUCAUCCAGUACCAUCUUACUUGGAGGCAGCAAAUCAAGAGGAUUCUUUGGUUUGGGCUUUGGUGCCUCCUCCUCCUCAGCGGCCUCUGCCUUUGCUGCCUGUUUCUCAACCUCCUUUUUGGCUUCUUUCUUUGGUUCAGCCUUUGGUUUAGUUUCUUUUGGCUGGGCAGCAGGCUUCUUUGAAGGAAC
This 78447-nucleotide long non-coding RNA is filed under the name Gossypium barbadense (sea-island cotton). RNAcentral's name for it is "long non-coding RNA (GBAR_LNC011195)". The stretch from base 20655 to 20699 matches the Rfam family "Histone 3' UTR stem-loop". The record is from RNAcentral. Lineage: Eukaryota; Viridiplantae; Streptophyta; Magnoliopsida; Malvales; Malvaceae.